RNAcentral lists this long non-coding RNA (61251 nucleotides) under Malus domestica (apple). Lineage: Eukaryota; Viridiplantae; Streptophyta; Magnoliopsida; Rosales; Rosaceae. The record is from RNAcentral.
GUGGGUGAGGAUCUUUAGAGGUUUUCAUUUUUGGAAACUUGAAGAGAACCUAGAAGCACUCAUACUAAACAAAGUGGAGGAGGCAAGGAAGGAGGCUAGGCUCAAGGACUUCAAGGAGCAAAGGGCUUGGAGGUGGUCCAUCCUUGGUCUAAGAUCUAGAUCAAGAGGUAUAAAACUACUCCUAAACUUUGUUCUUAUAUAAAUUUGUUUUUGAUGCAUCUUACAUAAACCUAUGCAUCUUGAAGGGGAUUUACAUGACUAGAGCUUUGAUAAUAUAUGUUGACAUGCUUCCGUUGCUUUCGUAUAUAAAUUUUGAAUUGUAUAUGCAUGCUAGUCACUAGAAAUCCCACAUGAAUCUCAUAGAAUUCCCUUCAAGUGGUAUCAGAGCCAAAGGUUUAUGUAUGAUGUGUCCUUUUGGAUUUUAUGCAUAUGGGUUUUAAUUUUAUGUAUGACAUGUUAUUGCUUCAUUCAAAGUGUGUUUAUCUUUUGUUUUUCAAUAGUUGAAAAAUAUGAAUCAAUAGUUGAGAAAGAUAUGUAUGCAAAAGGUGUUUUGUAUGCAUGAAUGAAGAAUGAGUUUAGAACAAAUUUUGGGGUUUUGAGUCAUUGGGAGGGCACGGCAAAAAAGGGGAUUUUGGCUAUGUGUUUGUGUUUUUAUUUUGAAUCACACACACACACUUUAAAGCUAGAAAGUAGAGUUCUUGUCACUUUUGUUUUGGGUUUGAAAAAUCACCAAGAAUAUACAAAUCUUGAAAAUGUGUUCAUGGUUUUGUUCUUGGUGUUCAUGGUUUGGGUUUUGGUGAAAAUGGUUUUAUUUGGAUUUUAUGCAUUUUUUUGUGGUUUUGGAUGAUGUACAUACCAUCCAUAGCCAUCUCAAAAUUUAUUAAAUCCUAGACUUGACUAGGAGAAUUUCCAUCACCUUUUUCUCUAAAGUCUUUAAAGCAAAACCAAGUGACAAGCAAAAUUUAAUUUUUCUACUUUAACUUGGUUUAAUGCAAGAUGGGUGAGACUUCCCAUCUCCCCUUAAUGUGGCCGGCCUCCCCUAGUGGAUUACCCACUUGUGGGGCUAUUUUGUAAUCUUUGAAAAGUUGAUAUUUACUUUCAAGUAUUUACGGUUUGACCCCUAACUUUUCAUAUUUGCAUUUAGGCCCCUACUAUUUUGAAAAGUUAAAAUAUUUGAUUUUAAUUUUAUUAGUUGUUUAAACUCAUAAUAAUAUUAUGCCCAUAUGCACUAAAUCUAAAUGUUUAUGUUGCAUUCCAUAUGAUUAUUUAAUGUGAUUAAGUAGUUAGAAAAAUUGGUGACUAUGGACUUAUGCCUUAAACGAUAAUUGAGCUAUGAGAUAAGGCGCUAAACUCAAAUUGUUUGAACCUUGGGAAUGUGUUUUAAUUACUGUUUCAAUUGGACCUUGUCACCUUGGACAUUAAUCUAUCUCUCCCUCUUAGUAUGUGUAAUUUGUAGGAAUUUGUACAAAUCGGUUUGUAAUUCUUAUUACUUCUUAAUCUCUUUUAGUUAGUUGCUUCCCUCUAGUGCUAGACUAGAGUUUCUUUAACUAUUGGUGAGGAGACAUGAUUAAAAGAGGGUUUUUGACAUGAGAUUAAAGAUUAAAUGGGUCCAACGCCCUAAUUAGCAAUGAAUGAUCGUCUUUCAUUUCUAAUGGCUCAAUGAAAAUGUUUUAAUUGGAUUGAAAAGCACGUAAUUAAAUUGACACAACCUCCCCGAGUUCUUAUUCAACAAUGUUGGCUCGUUGUUGCAAUAACCUAAUAAGUCCAUGGUCAUCCAAGAGCCUAAGAUAACUAUAAAGUCCAAAUUCAAAGGAAUGCAAAAACCGUAGUAGAAGUAGUUACUUCCAAUAUUUGAAAAAAUUCGUUUUUGAUAUUGAUUUGUUUUUCUUAAAACAAAUAGUGGGAGUAUCAUACGCUACUAAACUAUAAUGAAUACAAUUAUUAGUUAUAUAUAUCUCCAAUAUUUUGAAAAAUGUUUUGAUAUUGAUUUGUUUUAUGAAAACGAAUAGUGGGGGAUAUCAUAUGCUACUAAUUUCAUUAACUUUGGACUAGUAGUUAUAAUAGGACAUAAUUUAUUUUAAUAUGUUUAAAUAAAUAAAUUGAUGAGACCUUAAAAUCCCUCAACCAACAUACAAUAUUAAGUUGAAAGCGUAAGAAUGCUUUGAACACUUUUUCGUGGCCUUCCACCGUGGUAGGCUCCAAUCGUUUAUGACUUGUACACCGCCUUCACCGUAUCAUGGGGGAGUGCAAAGUGCAUGCUUAUACUUAGGAGGAGUCUAUAUAAACAUUUGAUGAGGUGAAGGUAGGCAACAAGUGUGGCCAACAUCGUAUCAUCGUGAGGUCAUACUUGAACCCCUAUCUAAACCGGCAUGGUGGGUCGAAACUUAACUAAGAGAAAUGGUGCCAACAUCGUAUCAUCGUGAGGCAUGGUUCUCUAGAGGCCAAAAAGAUGGGUAAUCACAAGAGGUUGUUGUGAAUGGGUAGUAAUACCCUCUCAUUAUUAUUUUUGCUAGCCGACAUCGUAUCAUCGUGAGGUGGGCUUGGUAAUAGUGAGCCUCCCAUAACCCGCUAGGAGCUUUCAUUGAAAUCUCCCGGAUUCCAUCUUGAGGGAUAUGGAAUUUGCCAAAAAUGGUGGGUGGUGUCAUUCGGUUUAAAGACCCGAAUCGUUUGACUUAAUCAACAAUCAAACUAAUUAUUUUAUUGUUUAUGUAUUUAGAUAUGGUUGGAAGCACACUCGCGAAAAUACUCGACAAACAUUGCCUAGAGGGGCACAAUUUCCCAUCAUGGUAUCGUAAUGUCAAGAUUCUCCUAACAUUGGAGAAGAUUGUUUACGUGCUAGACAAGGCCCCACCUCACAUACCUCUCGGCCUUGAGGCCACUGAGGAUGAACGUGCUAAGUAUGACAAGCACGUUGAGGAUGAUACACAAGCCAAGUGCUAUCUGUUGGCUUCCAUGAAUAAGGAGCUACAGAGACAGCACGAGGGCAUGGACAGUGCAUCUUCCAUCAUACUCCAUCUUACGGAGUUAUAUGGUGAAGGGACGCGCAACCGUCGCUUUAGCACUGUUAGUGAACUUGUGAAGACCAAGAUGGUCAAGGGGGCUCCAGUGCAUCAACAUGUACUGAAGAUGAUAGGACUCAUUGAACAAUUGGAGAACCUAGGUACUCCACUUGACGGGGAAUUGGCCCAGGACUUCAUAUUGGCUUCUCUUUCUGAUUCAUUCUCGCAGUUCGUAAUGAACUACAAUAUGAAUAAGAUGGAUAGUACUCUCUCUGAGUUACUAAACAUGGUAGUAACUGCCAAGAAGACUAUGAAGAAAGAGAACGUUGUAGGGACUGCUGCAGUAGCCUACAACAAGCCAUCAUCUUCCAAGGCCAAGCCGCAAGGCAAAGGCAAAGGGAAGGAGAAGAAGUCUCCCACUCCUAAGCCGCAAGGAGGAGUGAGGAAAAAGAAGGAAAAGGAGCCCAAGGGGACUUGCCACCACUGUGGAAAUGAGGGGCAUUGGAAGAGGAAUUGCAGGUUAUACCUAGCAACUCUUAAGGACAAGCUACAAGGUAUGGUUUAUGUUCUUAUCUUCAAUUCUAAUUGUUAGAUCUUCUAAAUAUUUAUAUUUGAUAUAAAGAGCUAAUCACUUAUACAAUUAUAUAUAGGUGGAGGAGCCAAGUAGAAGAGGAACAAGCAAAGAAAAGUGUGGAGAAGGGUUCGGCCACCAUGUUUUUGCUUACUACUUAGGAAGUUUGUUAGGCAUUUAAAGAUAGUCUUUAAACUUUCUUAUUUUGUUAAGAACUUAUUAAGUGGCUUCAUAUGAUGGAAGACCACUAUUAGUGCCUAAAUGUAUGAAGGUAUUUAAUUAGUCUCUAAAUGUAUAGAGCUAAUUCUUUUUGUAUUAAACAUUAUGAAUGUUUGAAUUAUCAUAUUAAUGUAAUGUGAUGAAUGCCUUCUAAUAUAUUAUUUCCUUAAAGUAGUGUUAUGAAUUGAAUAUUGUCUUGUUGUAUCCUAGUUCAGAUACAAGAUUUAUAUCACUUAUUGUAAUGUGAUAACCAAACUUUAGACUUAUCAAUUAUGGAUAGAUCUCACAUGUAGGACAUAGAAGGAUACAAUGAAUCUUUAGAUUUGGUUCCAAUUUUCUACCUAUGAGUUCUAUAAGAAUUGACAAAGAUCUAGAGAUUCCUUUCUUGAAGAAAAGGAAGAUCACAUUAUAAUGAUAUAAGUAAUAAGAAAAACGUUUCUUUAUAUGGUUAUCACUUAAACCACAAUAAUCAAGAUCACUCUUGAUUCAAUUAGUAGUUUUGAACAACUAAUUGGGCAUUCUUUAAAUUGUUUUAAAAUGUCAAUUGUGUUAGUGAUUAAACCAAGAAAGAAGUGUCUAAUCUAUAAAAUGUUUAAAGACUUUAGUCACUUAAUAACGAGACAUUAACUUAGUGAAGAUUGAAACAAACGAGCUUGAAAGUUUUUAAAGAUACUACACAAUGUCCUCUACCCGUAUACUCCACGUUUAUACAUUUUGAAUGUAUGAAGUGAUUUCUCAUUAAAGUCAUGAGAAAUAGUGGGAGGUGUGAAAAUGGAUAUAAACUCAAAUAUGAUUGGUUUAUAGUUAUCUAAAGAAUAAUAGUACUUGACUAUUAUUAAGAGUUUGUAAUUUUAAUUGUUAAAGGACUCAAGCUCUUCAAACGUUAAAAUUCUAUGUUGUGUAACAUUCUAAAGAAUAGUCUUUGAAUGUUGGUUUCGUCAACCUAACAUAAAAUGGUUAUAUGUUGGGAGUUGUCCAUCAUUCUCUUUUAUGAGAACAAGCUAAUAACAAAGCCCAUGGACAAAUUUGAUGAAACAAAAAGGGAAUAGUUUCAAAAUGAGUCACAACAUAUAGUUUAACAACAAGACAAUCCAAAUUCAACAUCUUAUGUAACUAUAACGCUCUAUGUAGUUUUGAUAAAGAAUUAUAUCAACCACCUGGAAGGAAUGGUUGAGUUUCUAUAUCCUUAGUAGGAGCCAUGCUUCCACUAAAGACUUGGAUAAUUCUUAUAUGACUACAUUAAAGGUCUUAGUAUGACUAAAACUUGUAGUAUGGUGUAUGACACACCAUAUAUAAUUUAAAUGAAUAGACUUGACAAAGCAAGUCACACAUUUCAAAAGGAAUUACUUGAGAAGGAAUUCUUUUGUGUAUGAUUCGUUUAAAUAACUUGUGUUAGCUAGAGUUGUUGAUAGUCUCAAAAUAGUUGAGACAUCAUCAAUAAGCUAAUGGAUCUUAAUGAUUGUCAAUAGAUCCAAGACAAGUUAGUGGGAGCAAUAUGCAUUCAAAUCAAGAAAAUAUAAUUGUUAAGUUUUUGAAUGAAUGCUAAGUUACAACAAGGCCAGUGGGAGUGAUGUCAUAAUUUGAGCAACAAGAUAUGAAUAAAGUCUAUUUGAUAGACUUGAUAGAACAUAGAUGUUACUCGAAAAUUGACAAAACAUGACACGGUCAAUUUUGAAGUAUAGACUUGAAAUUGGACUUAUUGAUAUAGCAAGGCUAUCUCAAGGAUGUUAUUUGGGGAAAUUAAAUCUCAAAUGUUGAAGAUUUAAGAAAGCAUUUUCCUAUAUGAUAGAAAAUCACUUUCGUAACCCUUAUAAUGAAUGUGUCACAAAAUCACAAAAGGGACACAUGUAUGGACUUGUGAGUAGAUAUCCAAAAGUGAAGAACCACAGGGGUUGUCACUUUAAGAUAUUACUAUAUCCCAGGAUCAGAACCAAAGCAACUGAUAGAGUAUUAUUGCCUUUAAGAAAGGAACAUCAGAGUGGGACUCUGGAAGCGUGCAUUCACGUAGGUUAUAAACCAAAGUGAAAAUAAGCCAUUUUAACAAAUGGAGCUUCAUAAUGGAUGAAGUACUAAUCAUAUGAAUGUAUUGUAAGUAUUGUACUACAAUGGUCUCAAGGUUGGAGCAAAGUUUGUAUAAAGUAUACAAACAAAAUAUAUGACGAUAUAUUGUUUUAGAAACUGCUUCAAAAGGUGCUUUGAAUGGAAGGGGUUCUUUUAGAACCAAUGAUUGAAUCCAAACCAUAAGGUCGUUAGUAGGACACUACGACGUAAUGGGGCGAUAGCUCAAGCCAUGGAAUCAAGGUCUCAUCAAAGUAUUCGAACACAAGAAAGAGACAUCAUCAAAUGUUUUGGAAACAUUUGAUAAGUGAAUCCCUUUUAAAUAAAAAGGAUUAAUACAUAACCAAGUUAACCUACGAGCAUAAGCUCUCUCAACUAGCAUGUAUAAGAUACACUAGUGAUUGACUUUAAUGCAAGUGGGAGAUUGUUGGAAAUAUGCCCUGAAAGUCAAUCUUUGGAAGAAACCUUUCAAGACAAUAAAUGGAUGUAUAGAUGACUCUUAUACAUCAAAUGGCAAAGAUACUAUUUAGGACUAUCUCUAUAAACGAUAUAUGUCCUAAAUGGUGAAUCCACAAUGGAUCGAUUAAAGAAGUAAUCUAAUGAAGUUAGACUACAGAGACCUUCUUCACAUAACCAUCAUGUCCAAAAGGUUCCUGGUCAUAGGAUUGUCGGAGGGAUACUGACAAUGCAUAGACCGGUACAUACUAUGUCCGCUUCAAUUAGAAGGAUGGAAAGUCUCAUCCCAUUCGUGUAGUGACACUAAGACAAGUAUGUAGGUGCUCAUUAAGGGAAUGAGUUCACUGAACACAAUCGAACGAGAGUACUUGCAUGGAGGUCUACUCACAUGUCAAGCAAGUAACUCUAAUAGUUGGAAUAAUGUAAGUAGUCCUUUGACCUGAGGCAUCAUCGUUGUCUUGUGGUUAAGUACUUGAUCUUUGAUUAUGUCAAAGUCACUCCAUCCGUGGGUGUCCACGGCAUAGUCGGGGUUAAGCCACUUAGUCAUGAAGGCAAGUGAAUGCGCAACAAGGAAUCUCUAAUCCUCGUUAAGAGAGGAUGAAUACUCUAAGAUAUAAUUCUGGAAUCUUCAGCCGAAGUAUCGAGCGUUAUAAAGGAAAGCGUUCCUAUACGACUCAAUUGAAUCAUAUAAUAAGGAAUAAUCACAUUAGGGGGUUGACAUAAUAUAUCCAUACCCUAGUGAUGUGAUUGAGAGUAUUGUUUUAGAGAAGGAUCGAAUUGCAUUGUAAUUCCAACUGAAUAGGUUCUCCGAACAACUUCUACAUUAGCUUGGGUAGCCAUGAUAUAUGGUUAGAUGUCACUCAUGGCUUGUGAGUUCUUCUAGAUGAUUAAAUGUAGUCGUCAAAGAAGAAGGUGAAUUAAAAGUAAGUUUUAAUUCACUAAGUGAUUGGAUUAAAUAUAAUCAAUUGGAUUGGUGCCAAUCACCUCACUGCCUUGCUAUUAGAACCUAAAACGAUUGUUCACCAAUACAAUCUUGUAGUGAGUAACUAAUGGAUGAUGGAAAUAAUUAAUUGGAUUAAUUAAGUGUUGUGAUUAAUUAGAAAGUCUAAAGAAAUCAUAAAAGCGAUAUAAGAUAGUUUUGGGCUUAAAGAAAACGGGUUACCCAUUGGGCUUUUAUUCAAGCAUUGGAUGACAAAUAAAUCAAAGGAGGGAGAGAAAGGUCAAAUGUUGACUUGUUUCUUUUUGGCUAUAAAAGGAACUUUAUAGCAAAUGUUUCAUUUUGGUUUUUGAAGUGUUAAAAGAACAAAAGAGAAAAAGAAAAAUAUCUCUCUAACACUCAAAGGGCCGGCCACCAUAGGGGGUUUUUAGCUAAUCAUCUUUUCACCCCUUUGGUUAUUCCUUCAUCCUUCUCACUACACUAGUGGGUGAGGAUCUUUAGAGGUUUUCAAUUUUGGAAACUUGAAGAGAACCUAGGAGCACUCAUACUAAACAAAGUGGAGGAGGCAAGGAAGGAGGCUAGGCUCAAGGACUUCAAGGAGCAAAGGGCUUGGAGGUGGUCCAUCCUUGGUCUAAGAUCUAGAUCAAGAGGUAUAAAACUACUCCUAAACUUUGUUCUUAUAUAAAUUUGUUUUUGAUGCAUCUUACAUAAACCUAUGCAUCUUGAAGGGGAUUUACAUGACUAGAGCUUUGAUAAUAUAUGUUGACAUGCUUCCGUUGCUUUCGUAUAUAAAUUUUGAAUUGUAUAUGCAUGCUAGUCAAUAGAAAUCCCACAUGAAUCUCAUAGAAUUCCCUUCAAGUAGGUCUUAGGUGAGUUUGCACAUAAAUUUUUCCUUAUUAUUUCAACAUUUAGACAAAAUCAGCAUGUUUGUUUAUUUUGAAAAAUGAAAAGUAAAAGAAGAAAAUACUGGAAGUAAAAUGAAAGGAAGAGAACUAAAGAGGGAAUGGCUUGGAGUCUUGGAACAACGAAAAUCAAAUGGCACAAAGGUGGUGUUAUCCAAAACCUAUCUUUAUUUCUCAUACACCUUUAUAAAUUUACAGCCAUUGAAUUGAAUGAAUUGAAGAAGAUCAAUUGACAAAAAUUAACAAGGAUGUGGGAGGUAAAGAAUGGUGUGUAAGUAGCACCACCAUAUGCCUUUGAGGAACUCUGCAUGAUUCAAAUCAAAGGCUUGUACAAGGGAGGUCUUCAUCCACGAGCAAAUUUGGUACGUGUAUCACCCCUUCCUUGGCUAAGAAGACACCAAAUGUGUAUCUCAGAACAUCAAUCAAGAUCACUCUAUGUCUACAAGAUCUAUUUUUCCGUUACUCCAAACAUAGGUCAAGAAAAAAAGCAACCAAUUAGAUCUAAUUCUUGUCACAAUUUGAUCUAAUUCUACCCUCACUUUCAUUGACCAACAAAGAACAGACUAUUGGUAUAAAUUAAAGUAUAUGAUCAACAUUUAUAUUUUGGGAAAUCUAUUAAUAUUGGGCACUUUUAGGCCCACACAAUUGUGCAAGUCGGAAAAGAAGCCACAAAAAGUCAAAUGUAAAAUCAAAGUCCAAGGGAGACCAAGAAGCCCAAGGUUCAAGGAGCUUAAAAGAAGAUACUCCCGAGGGCUAAAGCCAACAACUGACUAGCUUAGCCCGACUGAGUUAUGUAAAGUGCUUAUUAUUUACGUUCUAGUACUACAUCACGUGAAGCUGACGCUACGCGCAUCACAUACGAAUCAAAACAACAAACCUAGAGACAGGCUGACACCUAACUCUAGAUCCAAAGUAAACGUAAACGAUGCAUAUAAGCAUACACGUCAAGCUAGUCCUUGGCUUAGGACAUUACAACUAACUAAUAAACAACUUGCACACAUGUAACAAUGAGCAGAUAUAAUGAAUAAAGAUGUCAUGCCAUAUUUUAUACUCGCAGUUAAUAAAAAUAUAAAGUGUAGAAAAUCUAAUAAGAAGCUAACCAUGGCAUGUUACAUCAAUUAUGUAAAUGAAUAGUUAUGUGAAAAAAAAAAUCACACACACACACACACACACACAUAUAUAUAUAACCAAAAGACCCACCCACUCACUGGUAUGUUGCAAGGUCGUAGUCGCUUUACCUAUUAUGCCCACGGUACUCCUCUAGGUGGUCCUCUCCUAUACGGGAAAUUACUGUACUAAUAAUUAAACAAAUAAUAAUUGAUGCAAAAGACCUAAUUUCCCUUUAGUUUGCUCAAAAAAUGGAAUUUGGAGACAAUUGGCAUUCAAUUUGGAAAAACAAAGUGCGGAAACGGAAUUAGCGCGUCAAAAUACCAUAGGAAGGGUCCCAGACAAUUUUUCAAAAAGUCAACUUUGAUCAACUAACUAUCAACAGUUAACUUUAACAGAAUAUUCUAAGGGGAAUAUUCCCUCAAAUUUCAGAAUUGGAUUUGGGCUAGAACAAAGGCCCAAAGGUUUGGGCUCAUGCCAUUUUUUAAAAAAGGAUCUGGGCCGGUUUCCCAAAUCUGGGUCGGCUUUGGCCCACUGAUUCAAGUAUGGGCUUGGGUCGGUUCAGGUUUGGGCCCUUUUUUUCUCCCUGCUACAGAUUUUUGUCGGAAAAUCUGGGGAGGGUUCAAACCAUCCGUUCAGAGCCAUUUCACAACCAAAAUUCGCCCAUAAUAUAUAAAAAUGAAGCUUAGGACAAGAGGACUAAGAUUACUAUUUCAAGGCCAAAAGUUGGUCGGAGAUCAUCGAAAAAUGGCCUGAAAGUGGCGGCCCGAGUUGGAGUUCUCCGUUUUUGUCUGUUCGAAGUGGGUUUGGGCAUGCAAGCUCAAACUCGUGGCCUAAGGGUAGUAGGAAGUCAUCCUACACCUUCAAACUCAACCACAACAACAAGGUUUCAUUGGGUUUAACUUGGAAAACCUACAACUUGCCGGAAAACAUGGUGGGUUAGGAACCAUACUUCGAAACAUGUAGAAACUUGUAUGUAUGCUAGUAAACUACACAAAAAAACUCAAGGGAGAGCUUGAGGGUGGAAAUCUUGAGCUUACCUUGGUAGGAUAAGUUUCCAUUCGUCGGAGUUCGUCAAACGACAAAACGGAACCUUGUUUUUGUUCGAGUGUGGCACCAUCGUGGAGUUGCAGAGGGUCCCAGAUAAAUUUUGGGAGAAUUUGGAGGUGUUGGUGGAGCUUUAGAGUGAUGGUGGAUGGUUGGUGCGUGUGUCCGAGAAGGAGAAGAUGAAGAUAGAGUGACGGGAAAUGAGAGAGAGAGAGAGAGAGAGAGAGAGAGAGAGAGAGAGAGAGAGAGAGAGAGAAGAGGAACAGGCUAGAAAAAGAAAGAGAGAGUGAGAGGGAAAAGGAAUAGAGAGAGGGAAAAGGAAAAGAGAGAGAGAGAGAGAGAGAGAGAGAGAGAGAGAGAGAAGAGGAAUCGGCUAGAAAAAAGAAAGAGAGAGUGAGAGGGAAAAGGAAUAAAGAGAGCGAAAAGGAAAAGAGAGAGAGAGAAUGUGUGUGACCGGCUAAAAAGGAAAAGAAAGAGUGAGUGAUGUGAGAGAAUUGAUGGAAUGAAAUAAGGGGGUUUUUAAAGCCCAAACAAAAUAAUUUUUUUGUUUCCACUUGCACAUGCACAGUCUACACAAAGCCUAUUUAAAGCUGUUUUCAAAUUUCCCACACCAGACCAAGGCAGUGGUACACACUGCACGAGGAUGGUUUUUAAAGUUUGAACUUAUUUCAGGUGAAUUUACAUUGUUUUGAACAUAUCUUGGUCGUUAUAACUCCGAAUUGAAUUCAGUUUGCGAUCAUAUGUUUGUAAAAAUAAGUAUUGUUAAGAAAUAGUAGAAUAAGAGUGGGAAAGUGAAUAGAAAAUUAAGGUCCAUGUGGACGGCUUAUGUGGCAUCUCAGAGGUAAUUUAGAAAAUUCAUUGAUACCGGGAAUAAAAUACAUUAAGUGUCGGGACAGGAUGUCACACAACGGUCAAAAUUUAGGUUAACAUAACUCUGAUCCGGAGGAUGCCCUUUAAUAAUCAUAGAAGUAUCAUCAGUAUUCCUUUCUCAAACCUUUACAAUUGGCUUUAAGAUAUCACUCACCAAUAGAUAUAACCAAUAACUUAGAUCUCGCUGGGAUGGGCAUCAUUUCUGAACACCAUAUUAUUAUGGUCAUUCCAAAUUUGCCAACAAAUGAGCAAACACAAGCUUAAACCACUAAGAACUUCCUUAUCAACAUGCUUUAAAGAAUUUAGCCAGUAUACUUCAGAGUGAAAGUUAACAUUAGUGAAAUUGCCCAACUUAAUUGAACAAAGGUCCCAAAUCAAUUGAGUGACACCACAAUUAAAGAAUAAAUGCACGUGGCCCUCGUAUGUUGAAUUAGAAAAGGGACACACCUUAUCACUAUUAUUCACAAUAUGGCUUAAUCUUUUCUUAGUCUGAAGUCUUUCAUGAAUGAAAAACUAUGCAAGCUUCUUAAUUUUAGGAGGAAUAUUAAGUUUCCACAUCUUAUUAAUUAACUUAUGCUCUGUAGAUUGAGUCAACGUCCCUUUUUGAAUCCAAGUAACUGAUUUAAUAGAGAACUUACCAUUUGUAUUUGGACCCCAAAGUAGCACAUCUUUGGAAUCUUGCAAGGGAAUUAUGAUAAUACAUAUUGUUGGUACCACACAUAUUGGGCCUCAGACUUUGAUACAUUAGGCCUCAUUACCCAGCCCAUAUGAUUAUGUAAAAGGAGGAGCCCCUUAUUCUAUAAAAGGGGACUCCUCCCCCCCUUACAAAGGGGACUCAGAGAACCCAACAGAGGGCAAUACCCUCACAAACUCUCCCAAACUCUCUCUUUCUCUGGGGGACUCCCCCUCACCUUUGUCAUAUAUACAGUUAGAGAGAAAUACAAUCAACAUUAGUAUGGACGUAGCCCAAACAUUGGGGUGAACCACGAUACAUCUUGUGUUAUUUACUUUCUUGCAGAUUCACAGUCGGAUUAACGUUGUUCCAAGACCUCCGGUUUUGUGCAUCAACAUUUGGCGCCGUCUGUGGGAAACGACACGAAAAGCUAUGUCGGUUCUUUCAUUUUUUUCACCUCCACCGUGAAUCUGCAGAAACCAAGAACCCAAAAGUUUUCUAGAAAAUUCAACUUUUCAAUCUUUUCAAUUAACGUCCUUUCAUUUUGGGGGAUCAGCUCUUUAUUAUAUCUCAGCAUUUUCCAAUUUAAUCCCACAAUUCAAAAAACUUGGUCUGAAAAUUUCUUCAAUUGGGUUGCUGAACAACAAUAACCUCUGUGACCAUACUGUCGGUGCUUACAUUCCCCAAAGACGACACAAUCAGCCUCUCCUCCGAGCUCAGCGGUAACACCAAGAAGGUCGUACUCUUCUGGAUGCACGAACCCCCAACCCGCGAUGCCACUAUCAUCUGCCAGGCACUGACCACAGAAGGCGUAUGGACCUUAGAGCAGCCACCGAAGUCAUCUGCUUAAGAACCUCAUCUCAGAUCUUCCACUUCAAGAACCCUAUCUUAACUUUAGCUAUGGAAAACUCGUCAGGCAUAACGCUGACCAGAUUCGUGACUCGCUCAAGCAGAUGAGCUAGCUCGGUUCCACCAGCCGCGGGUCGUCGUCGUUCCAAUUCCAGAUAAGCCUCCCAGAUUUGCCCAUCAGUCACUGCAAAGCCAAAAAAACUCGGCCUCUCUCUCUCUCUAUAAUUUCAUCAUCGUCGUCUUCUCCACUAAGCUGCAUCCGUUCCCUGCAAAAAACGUUCGCCAUAUCCAUCCGCUUGCCAUCACAUUCCUUCUGUGCCAGAGACAGGAGAUAGUUGUUUACAGUACCACAACCGACCAUCUUCCCACUAACGUGCAUCUUUGAGGGAUUUAUUUUCACAAGUGCGGAAAGAGUUUCUAAUGCAGCUAUAAAGACCUUGAGAUCCGUUGAUGCAAGCAAGUCAGGAUCCAUUGAUGCAAGCAAGAGCUCGAAAUGCUUUAAGCCAUCAAAUGAACUCUUGUUAUUGCAGUUUUCUAAAAUUGUUUGCAUCACUCUCGAAAUUUGUAGCACUGCAUGCUUUGGAAAUGGACUAUCAUCUUCUAAGAUUUUAUCCGACAACAAUAGAUCAUUUCUACAAGACAAGUAUGUCUUGAAAUAUGUAUCAAAAUGCAGAAAAAAAAACGGCCUUCAAUGGUUACUGGCAACAUAUACUAUUCAUUUCGUGCUCUGGUGAAAGGAAUGGCUUUGAAUAAAGGGUUUCCUCUUAGCCCAAGGCAAGAGAAGAGAAUAAAAUCUAAGAGAUUGAGAUUUGACUGGGUAAGACCAUAAGUGGGUAGGUGCACAUGCAUGACAGCAUGACAGCAGCGCAGAGACAGUAGGCGCAGUACGCACCAACAAUCUGCAAUUGUCGACCACCAACAUGAAAAAAGACAACAGAAUAAAUCAUUUAUUCACAGACGGCACACGAAAUUAUUGAGCAACUAGAUCCACUGAUCAAUAUUGUUGCUGAUUAAAGAAGUCUACCAACUUAUAGAUUGAUGAGCCACGUGCUCAUUGUAAUCUCUUGUUUGACCGGACACCCACUUGCUCGGACAUUUACUUAUUGGGACACCUAUGUGCCCGGACCCAACUCGAUGACCCUACAGAUAGCCCCAACUCGAUGACCCUAAGUAUGGCCCCUACUCAAAGACCCGACUUGCGGACCCAAUCUGCGGAUCUGACACAUAGACCCAAUAUGCAAACUCGACAAGCGGAUCCGAGUCAUGUUGAGAAUCAACUCAUACUGAGUGCAUGUCAACAUAAAGUAGAUACUUGCAAUGAGGAAUAGCACGAGCUGAGCCACCACACAGCGAGCAUAGCCUCUAGCCGAGCCGCCUCGCAACGAGCAUAGCCUCAAGCCGAGCAAACAUCUCGCCGCGAGCAUAGCCUCUACCCGAGCAGCCUCGCAACGAGCAUCGCCUCCAACUGAGCAGUCUUGUAACGUGUGAUACCUCUAGCCGAGUAUUGCUUUAUGUUGAGCAUUGCCUUGGGUUGAGUACUGGUUCAAGACAUCUAGCCACUUCGGCCCCUACAUGGAUUGGAUUUGAACUCUUCAGCCAAAAGACUCUUUUGACUGAAGACUUGGGGGACUACUAUUGGUAACACACAUAUUGGGCCUCAGACUUUGAUACAUUGGGCCUCAUUACCCAGCCUAUAUGAUUAUGUAAAAGGAUGAGCCCCUUAUUCUAUAAAAGGGGACUCCUUCCCCUCACAAAGAGGACUCGGGGAACCCAACAGAGGGCAAUACCCUCACAAACUCUCCCAAACUCUCUCUUUCUCUGGGGGACUCCCCCUCACCUUUGUAACCCAUACAUACAGUUAGAGAGAAAUACAAUCAACAUCAGUGUGGAUGUAGCUCAAACAUUAGGGGUGAACCACGAUACAUCUUGUGUUAUUUACUUUCUUGCAGAUUCACGGUCGGAUUAACGUUGUUCCAAGACCUCCGGUUUUGUGCAUCAACACAUAUUUUCUUCACAAUUUCAAUAUUACUAACCAUUUGUGGUAGCUUUCUCCUAUUCCAACAAAAAUUAUCAAUAAAGUCACUAACUUUUAAGUCCUAAUUAAUAUUUUGAUUGUCAAUAUUGGGUAAGAGAUGGAACAACGAGUAAGGAAAACCUAAUUGUGAGACCAAAACAAAAUGUCCUUAUGUCCAUCUCAUACCCUUAAGAAUAACAUCCCUACUUUUCAAAAUACACUUCCCAUCAAAAGAAUGAUUUUGUCUAAUGUUCUUAUCUAGAAAAUGUUCCUUUCUAAGAUACUUACUUUUUACUAACUUCACCCACCAGUUAUCCUCCUUAGUCAUCACCUUCCAACCUAAUUUAGUGAGACAAGAGUUAUUAAAAUGAUCUAGUCUUCUAACUCCUAGACCGUCCACUUUCUUAGGAGCACAAACCGAAUCCCAAGCCACUGGAAAAAAUUUCCUGUCCUUACCCCAGAAAAAAUCGCUACACUCUUUAUUGAGCUUAUUGACAAUCUUGUUAGGAAACUUAAAGCAUGACAUAACAUGAUUGGGCAUACAAAUUAGAGUUAAUUAAAAUAAGCCUCCCUGCUCUCAAAAGAGUGCUUGCUUCCAACCAACUAAUUUUUGCUCGACCCUCUUAUGUAACUCAUUUCCAUUAACUUGGUCUUUCCAAAAAACAAUAUUAUGGAUACCUAGAUACUUACCAAUAGUAGUUUUAUGUUGAGUUUGCAAUAUAUUAACAAUAUCAAUUCUAAUUGGAAGAGGUAGUAUUCUUGGAAAAAUACAAGGACAACUUAUGAAAAUUAUUUGUUGACCUACCAUUUUAGAAAACAUAUUAAGGAUUUGAAGAAUAUUCCUCGCACCCCUUGGCGUGACCAUAGUAAACCGGAGACAAUCAUCAGCAAACACUAGAUUUGAGAUUUUAAAUCCUCUAGGUGAGGAUAAAUUACCAAUGUUGCUUCGGAUUAUUUGUUUGGGUAUUGAUGUGUCUAAUUAAAGGUUCCAUACAAAUGGUAAAAAUAUAAGAGGACACGGGUCUUGUAACAUCCCACUUCGCCCAGAGGAGUGAAUCAUGUAAGCCUUAUAUGUAUAUUCCCAUUUCUACCGAGUACAAGGCCUUUUGGGAGCUCACUAGCUUCAGGUUCCAUCGAAACUCCGAAGUUAAGCGAGUUCGCGCGAGAGCAAUCCCAUGAUGGGUGACCCAUUGAGAAGUUCUCGUGUGAGUUUCUAGAAACAAAAUCGUGAGGGCGUGGUUGGGGCCCAAAGCGGACAAUAUCAUGUUACGGCAGAGUCGAGCCCGGGAUAUGGUGAGGGCUCGGGCCGGGAUGUGAUAGGUCCCCUUGUCUAGUUCCCCGCUUCGGAUAAAAAUAACAAUGAGAUCGCCCAUUUAUAAGCAUAGAGAAGGAAGGAAAAGUAAUACAUUUCAUAACCAACUCAACCCAACGACUAUCAAAACCAAAUCUAAGAAGAACAUACUGAAUGUAAUCCCAGCUUAAGAAAUCAUGUCUUUUCCAUAUCCAGUUUGAUACCCAUAGCUCCAGUUGUUUCUUUCAUCCUAUUGAAACCUUCUAACAUUUCGUGAGCAAUAAGAAUAUUAUUCUGAAUGGCUCUUCCCAAAGCAAAAACACCCUGAUUUGGAGAGAUGCAAAGAUCUAACAGAGGUUUUAGUCGCUUAAUGAUGAUCUUUGUGAUAAUUUUAUAACUAACAUUACAAACUAAUAGGCCUAUAGUUAUUAAUAGUUUCCAAAUUAUCUAUUUUAGGAACUAAAGCGAUGUUAAUAUGAUUUAUGAGCAUUAAGUUGGAUCCAUUCUGAAGAAAAAAAAAAUCUUCAACCAAAUAGGAAACAGAGUCCCUAAUUUGGUCUCAGCAACCAUGAAAAAAGGCCAUACUCAAACCAUCAGGAUCUGAAGCCUUAAGAGCUCCACUACUACUCACACCAUCCCAAAUUUCCACAUCUGUAAGAAUGGAUAACAAUCCUAAAUUUCCUCAUCUGUAAGAAUUGAUAACAAACUUUCAUUAUGAUAAUUAGAAAUACAAGGUUGAAUGAUAUCCACUAAAUUACUUAGGUCAGCACCCGAGGGAGGUCUAUCACAAGAAAACCGCUUUUUAAAAUUGUGCACAAAAACCUGUCAAGGCCCUAACCAACGGACCACCAAAACUCAUUCUCAUCUUUGAUUUUUGUAAAAUUAUUCAUUUUCUUACGAAUAUUAGCCAUAGCUUGAAGAAUUUAGUAUUCUUAUCCCUAAAUUGCAACCAAUUAGCUUUAGCUCUCUGAGCCCACAUAAAGUAACACAUGCUUCAAUUCAUCUCGAAGAGAUUUUUCUUUCAUCAAACCAACAAAGUUGUUACUCAUAAUUUGCUUCCCAAGCAUCAAUUUCAUUUAACAAUUCUUUCUUUUUCUCCUUUAAAUUGCCAAAAGUAUCCUUAUUCCAUUUAUAAACUAGAAAUUUAAACUUACCAACACACAUUCUGAAUUUAUUGAUUAAUAUUAGGGUCACAAGGCCAAGAAUUUUGCACAAACAUUUUAAACUAAGGAUGAUUAAGCCUCAUAGCCUCAAAUUUAAAUGAGACAUAGUUAUUAUUCUCCACACUAGAAUUUAGAGAUAAUAAAAUAGGUUUAUGAUCAAAACCAAAAAUAGGAUAGUUAUGCAAAUGAUAUUCUGGGAAUAUAUUUAACCAUAAAGGGUUAGCCACCACCCUAUCCAAUCUCUGAAAAACAAAUGUAUGAUCCGUAUGACAAUUAGUCCAAGUAAAAGGAACUCCAAACGCAUUUAAAGAUAAAAGAUUGCCACGAUUAAGAAAAUUGAUAAAAUUGUUGGGUUUGAUUACCUCCAAGCCCACCAAGGAUUUAAAGAAGUUGUCAUAUGUCAAAAAUAGUCUCUAUCUUUUUAACAGUGUCUCCAUCUUUGACGGCCAAACGUCACAACCCCUUUUACAGAAGUAGUCAUAUAUGUAAAGGGAUCCUCUCUGGAUCCCUUCCAUCGAAUCCACCAAUUCAGGCCCUGAAAAUUUGAUCCAACGGUUAAAAACAGGGGGUCCCUUUAAAAAUUAUAACAACAUUAGCCAUUGGAUCAAAUUUCAAGGGCCUAGAUUGGUGGAUUUGAUAGAUUUGGUGGAAGGAAUCCGGAGAGGAUCCCUUUCCGUCAUAUAUAUGUUGAUGUUUCUUCUGUUUAUCUUGCAUUUGAUUGCAUGGUUUUGGUGAUGUUUCUUGUAUAAAUUUGGUUUUUGGAAUGAUGGAUGGAAAAUAGCGAGGCAACCACAAAAAUUCAUGAAACUUCAUUCCGUUUAAACAUCAUUCCUCCCCUUGUUAAAUGUUUUAAUUAGACAGGUGAUGAUUCUCCAAGGGUGAGUUCGGUUUCAAUUGGUUAGGUUUUUUUCCAAAACCGAAACCAAAUCGAAAUUUUGGUUCGGUUCGGUUCAAUUUUUUUUUAUUCGGUUCGGUUUAAUUUUGAUUUGGUUUUUUUCGACUAGGUUUCGGUUCGGUUUUUUUUUUAUAAAACUUUUUUAUUUUUUAAAAUUUGAAAAUUGGUCUGUGCUCUACAACUUUGCUUACAGUUUUUGCCAUUUCAAAGAAAGUAAAGGAAGAAAAAAAGAGAAAGAGAAAGAAGACGCAAGAACAAACAAAGAGAAAGAAGAUGUAGGGAGAAAAAAAAAGGAAGAAAGCAAAGAGUCGGAUGGGGAGAAAAAAAUGGAAGAAAGAAGAGGGUUGGGUGGGAAGAGUGGGGAGAAGAAAGGACUUAGACUAUGGGUUAAUGGUUGCCCUAAAACAAAAGCUUAAAACUUGGGUCUAAACUUAAAUUGGGCUUGGAAUAUAAACAUUCCAAUAUUAAAUAAAUAAAUAUAUUUAAUUGUAUUUAAUUCGGUUCGGUUUGGUUUGGUUUUUGAAUUAUCAAAACCGGAAUCGAAACUGAACCAAUAAUUUUCGGUUCGGUUCGGUUUUUUUUUUGUUCUGAUUUUUUCGGUUUUGGUUCGGGGUUCGAUUUGAUUUUUUUCGGUUUUCAGUUUUUUUAACCCACCCCUAUGUUUCUCAUUGUUAUCAAUGAGUAUUAUUUGCAUCUGAAAUCAUAUCCAUUGGUGUUUAUAAUUCGGACUCAUGCCCUAUUCUUUUAGUUAAUCUUUUUUUUAAUGAUUACUUUUAUAAUUUGUUCUUUCGUAGAAAUAUUAAAAAUAUUUGAAUUUCUUAUUUUCAGUUCUUUGUCUUGUGAAUUGAAAUAAGCAUCCAAUAGCUCAUUUUACUAGGGGUAAUGCAACACUUAAGUAAUAAUUCAAUCUUUAACAUUCAUGUCAUUUAGUUUACACAAUUUUCCUACAAAUUUAGUCUUCCUAAUAUUACCCUUUACUAAUUCAUGAUUUCGUGUACAUGAGAACGUCCUAGUCAAGUUGCGCACUAGAACGUCCGUACGUUGUAUAUACAAAUUCGUAUAGCACUUGUUUUUCUUAAAUGAGGUUUAACUUCGAGACAAGAUUUCAACGAGGCAAAUUGUAUAUACAAAUUAAUACAGCACUAGUUUUUCUUAAAUGAGAUUUAAAUUCAAGACAAGAUUUCAACGAGGCAAAGGAUAAAAAAAAAAAAAAAAACAAAUGCACGCGCGCACACAAAAUAUAUAUAUAUAUUGAAACACUAAAGAUUCAAGGGUUGAACUGACAUUGGAGAGAGAACAAAAGUGUGAUGCACAGACGUAUGGAGUAUGGUAUACUAGUAUAAGCUAGGGUUGAAUUUACACGUAUGAGAUGUAUGAAUUGAUCAAUCGAUCGUAUAUAGUGUCUGAAAAGUUUCAACUGUACGUGAUCCAUGUACCAUCAUCACACGUCUGAAGCGUUGUCGGAGUUAGGGACGGCUCGGUUUCGGUUGCGGGACCUCCGCUUGGACUGUCGUUUGUGGCUGCCACCAAACUUCAACCUGCCAGUGUCCUUGAAGCGUGCCUUCUCAGCAGAAACGGUGACGCACUCGGAUGGUGGCACUGGGUAACGCAACGAAUCGUAGCAAUAUGAGUAGUACAUGUAACGCUGCCGAAACCUGCGCAUGGCGGCUCGCCGCUGACGCGUGAUGACGGAGUAGUCUUGGGUGGCGAGGUGGGUGUAAUGUUCCGCGCACGCUUCAGCGGCAGGGAUUUGCUGGAUUGGGUCGGCGGGGCAGCCCUCUAGGACUAGGUCUUUGAAUUCUGCUACGAAAGGAGCAUAUUUGUAAUUCACCUUGUAUUGCCCGCCGGAGGUGGCCCAACUGCUUGCAUCCCAUAUAGUCGUAUACAAGGACAUUGGCUUGGAGGGGUAGUCAGCGCCCAUUUCUUCAUUUCGCACUACCUCUCUAAUUGGGACUUCAUCCACGUAGAAUCUGAACGUUACAUUCACAUAUUCUCUUUAAUUUUAGUCAUCGAAUUAAAUAAAUCAAAUUAAAACAUAUGACAAGAUUAAACAAGAGUUUAGAAAGAGAAAGAAAGUAUUUGGUAAUUUCCCUUUUAUAAAUAGUUGAAUAUUGCUACAACCGGUUUCAAACAUGAAUACAUCAACAUCUCACAUUAACGUUAUACAAUGACUUUGUCGAAUAACAUAAUUUAGUUCCCAUUUAUUCCUCACCAAGUCACUAGCAUAAACAGCAGAAAGUAUUGUGUGUGUCACACAUAAGAGAAGGAUGCUUCAAACAUAUAUGACAUGUUUUUUAACCAAUAAAUAUGUGACAUAUUGUGCUAUUAUAUUUUAGUCCAGACAUUUAGCAAUAAUUAUACAUCAUCUAUCACUUAAUUGAUUCAAUUCAUAUGCUGAUCUGGUAUAAACAUAACAUGUACUUUGUCACAAAAGGAGAUACAAUGUCAUUAUAAAUGUUUUGCAAAAAUGCUACUCUUACCAUCUUGUUGCAUCAUUUCUCUAAUAGAGAUGAGACUUACAUGCGUUGGCGGGCUCUACUAACCGAUUAAAUUUAGUUGCUCUUUUAGACCUCAAAACAUUGAGGAAUGCUACACUUAUUAUCUAAUUGUAUCAUCAUUUGUAUUAUUCUUCUAAUGAGAUAAGACUUACAUAUGUUGAUGAGAUCUAUUUCUAUUAAAAAAAUAGUACAAAUGACACUACAUGAGAAGUGUAGUAUUCCUCAAUGUUUUUGGGGAGGCAGAUUGUCUGUCCUUCUAUUAUGGUACUCUUCUCAUCCCCUCUUAUUUGUGCGGUUACGGUUAAGUCACGUCAACAUUUUAUAUUCCUAUUACUUUUUGUUUUAUUAUCUCUAUAUAAAAAAUAAUAUAAAACAUUGACAUGAUUUAAUCGUAACCGUACAAAUAGAAAGAGAUAGGAAUGACACCAUAACAGGAGGGCAAACAAUCUACCUCAAAAAAAAAAGACUAAAUUUAAUAGACUUAGAAGCAACCCAGACGCAAUCCCAAUGUGCGUGGGGCCUCCCCUGAGGUCAAAUAAAGCAUAAAACAAAGUCCACAAAGCAUGGGUGGUUGCGUACCUGCGUUAACAAUUAUAAAUUUUUUAUUGUGAUAGGAAUAUGGUGGUACACCACGUGUUUUUAUAUAAGUAAUGAAAAAUUAUAUUUUUUAAGUUAUAAAAUUUUUAGCACAUAUAUUUUACUAUUGAUAUAGUGACAUGUGGUGUACCAUUCCGUAUUCUAGUCAGACUGAAAAAUAUCUCCUGAACAGCAAGAAUCAUCAUGAUCCAUAGAUAGAUACUAAAACUUUCCCAAAACAGAAGGAAUCAAUGAAAGAAAUCAGGAAGUAAUUUCCUACCCUUUCUUGUUUUUUUUUCUCCCUCUACACAUCCUUAUCUAUUUUUAAUCAUUAAUUUAAAGAAAAACUAAUAAAAAUGAUUUGAAAACUUUGAGUUUUAACCAUAAAAACAAAAUAAAUGGUUUGAAAAGUGUAAAAAAAAUGUAAUUUUUCGUUAAAGUAAACAGUACCUAAAACUUUUCGUUAAAAUUCUCUUAAUUUAAAUCAAUAAGAAAUAAAAAUAAACGAACAAAAAUAAAACAUCAACGUGUAUAAGAAAGAAAAAGUGUAAAAAAUCAUUUCUCUAGAGAGGAAUGACAACAAAAACAAAGCCAUAAAUAGCUUAAGAGGAAGUGAAAUUAACUGAUUAGCAAGGGCGAGCCAUGAUUUUUUUCUUGAGUGGGCUAACUGAAAAUAGUACCAUAAAAUCAUAUGUUUAUUUUUUUGUUUAUAUAAAAUUACCAAUAUAAAAGAACAACAAUAUAAUAUAAACUAUUCUCAAAUUCAAAACCCUAAUCAAUAAAUUCAAGAACCAUAUAAAUAAUUAACCUACUAAUUAAAUCAAGAAUAAGUAAAUAAAGAGAUUAAGAAUGUACCAAAGGUGACAUUCAUUGGAAAAUUGCAACGGAAAGUCAAGAAUUACGGAGAUAGGAUUUAAUUGUGGAUUUAAAGAACUUAUGUUUCUUUUCUUGAGUAAGAAGCACAAAGGCUAAAUUACAUAUGGUAAAUGGUUUUUUUCUUUAAAGAAUAGGAUAAAAGAGGACUGGAGAUAGAACUAAUUUAUAAUUUUUAGCAUAAAACGUAUUAUUUACUACCUCUCCUCUAUUAAAUAUACAUUACAAAAUAAUCUGUAUUGAAAUUGAGUAGGCUAUAAGCAUGAAUUUACAAAAGAAUAGAUCUAUUCACAAACUCAUUUUUACUUCCAACACAUCCUUAUUAAUAUUUUGCCAGUAAUCAUCUUUAAUUCAUUUGAUCCGAACAAUCAACAAUUGAGAAAGGUGUGUAAGAAGUAAAAAUGAAUGCAUGGAUAGCAUUACCCUUACAGAAAACCUCUCUAGGCUAUAGACCACCUUAGCCUUGUGGGUGGCUACGCCAUUGCUGAUUAGAUGAGAAUGGAAGAAAGGAUUGGAUCGGACUUACAUGGUGUUUUCGGGUGUCCAAAGGAUGCUGUAGCGGUGGAAGUCUUUCGUAGGGUCGAACCAGAGGCGGUAACGUUCUUCGCGGCCGCGGUUGGUGCUGCCAUUUCCGUAGAGGUUGGUUUGGAAUCUCCAUGGCUUCCCUUCUGUGUUCCCUAAGAAUUCUAUGUCCAACUCAUCGUGGUUCUUCUCGAAUACGUCCGCGUUUGAUGUCUGUUUGUUCAAUUUGGUCAUCGCCACCAGACAAAUUUAGUAGCACAUUAGAAUUACCUCCCCUAGUUAUUUAGAAAAUAUCAACGAAUUUCCCUUCAAUUCCUCAGACCAAAAACGGAUCAUUUCUACGUAAGAAAAAAACGGUCGUUUCAAAUUAAUUUACCAUAUAUAUAAAAUUGUGGUACGUAGAAAUAACAAGAAACUUACGUAAAAGGCAACACAGAUACCGGCAGUAUAAUCGGAUGGCAACUUAAUGUUAGCGCUGAAGAAACCAUGGUUGUAAAGAUUGGAGGAGAUGAAGCCAGAACCUUGAUUAAUUUUUAUUUUUAUUAAAAAAAAAACCGAGUUAAUUAGUAUGAAUAAAAAAGAGUAUUUCAAGAGACAAUUAGAGAAUUACAAAUUAAUUACGAACCUGUGAAGCGAUCAAGGAGGAGACGUACACCUUUUCCGUCGGGUGAUCGGACAAGGUUGCCAUCGCCGAAUAGAGGGGUAUAGCCUUGGUCGAAGGGGAUGGUGGUCAGGUUGUAGAAAGCUGCGUCCACGUUUCCAACACACACAAGGAUCAAUGGUAUUAACCUCAAAGGCUGGAAAAAUAGAGAAACUCCAUUAGACCAAUAUCUACAGGGUUGUAAUCCCUCCAUUUGCUUUCAAUAUUUUUUUCUUUAGCGAUUCAAAUUUAAUCUCUCUUCUCUCUCUCUCUCUCUCUCUCUCUCUCUCUCUCUCUCUCUCUCUCUACAUCCGAUCCCACCUCUUUCGAUUUCUCUUCCGAGUCCGUUUAUACACACACACGCACACACACACACACACGCACACAUAUAUACAUCAGCUAAAAGAGGCCAAGGGGAAUUCAAUGCAAAGGUUACGAGAGAGAGAGAGAGAGAGAGAGAGAGAGAGAGAGAGAGAGAGAGAGAAGGAAAGAGUAUAUGGUCCUCGGCUGCUGAUUAGCCAUUGAAUGUGUUAAUCAAUUAUUUCUCCACCCAUCUUUUUCCUUUUUGCUGAAUAUUUCUUAAAAAAUAUUAAACUUUUUUUUUUUUUUGACGAAUGAUGCAUCAACAGGUUAAAUUUUUAGUUGUUAGGGCAAGGAGGGUUGUUGAAUUGCACUCACACCAUGGUGUAUAGAUAUUAUUAUUUUCCAUCAUUGCAGUAAAACGUCAUCUGACUACAAAUAAAAACCGAAAGCAAUUUGUUUUUUCCAAACUGGAUUUUAACUUUUAAAAGGGAUUUGAACACAUUAAAAUUUGAAAAUAAAAUAAAGGUGGGUGACUUGUUACAAUUAGUAUAUAAAUUAUAUAAUGAAUAACAAAAUUUAAUGACCACCAAUCCAAUAUUCAUGCAAGGAAUAAUGGAUACUGAUUCCUAACAACUAUAAAUAACAAAUAUGAUAUGGAUUCUUGUGGUUUUAAUUUACAAUUUAUGACAAAAAAUUGAAAUACUAGUUCCAUACGGUGGUUCAUUUAUAAUUUUAAUGAUAAUGAUCCUACCAUGCAAUUCAGAUAUGGUCAUGUUGUUAUUCUAACCAAACCAGCAGGUCCAUAAGAGCAGUUUCCAUCGGUGAACUGAUAGGCCAUCACCCAGCCAAAAAACCAGCUCGGUAUCUAGGCUAUCCACUCCAGCCCGGCAUUUUGACCGGCACCCAGCUCAAGCUGGUCUCCAGGCCACCCCAAAAUCGACAGAGGUGUGGGCUGACCCGUAUGACGCCAUGUUGACGCUAGCGUGGCAUCAGAGGCAAUUUCAAUUUUUUUUUUGUGCCAAGCGCGUGGCAAGCACGCGUGACUGGGCGCGAGUAGGCAACAAGGAAUCAAACGGGGGCCCGCUGCGCAGGCGCACUCAACCAUCAGAUUGGGAGGCCACGUGGCCCGGGCUGUGCCAUUAGAUUUUUAACGAUAAAAAAAUUUUGAAUUUUUGUUUAUAUCUUGACCUUCCGAUCACAGAUCAACGAUCCACGUUUUUCCCCCAAAAAUAAAAAAAAUAAAAAAAAGCCCAACAAUCAGAAUUAUGACCAUUGGCCACGUGGCACCUUAUAGGUUGUUGGAUUUGAAUAUUUUUCAAAUCCAACGGUCCAGAUUUAUUAACUAAAUUAAAAUUUAUUAAAAAUUAAUUAAAAAUAUAGAAAAAUUGUUAAAAAAUACAGAAAAAUUUUAAAAAUUUUAUUUAUUUUCUAUAAAUACCUAACCCUCAUGUUCCACCCUACACCACAUUUCAAUACUUUCUACACUUUCUACAGUUCAAUAUUUUCUACACUUUGAGAGAAAAAAAAAUGACUUCGUUGAAGCUCAUUGAAGAUGUUACAUUGUGUGAAUGUUGGGUUCACACAACUCAUGACAUGAUUACGGGUAAUGAGAUGGAUAAGUGAGAAAUGUAGAGUAAAAUUAUGAAAGCGUUUUGCAAUGUACAUAGAAAAGAUGCCAGAAGUAGUCAAGGUCUUCAAGGUUGUUGGAAAAAAUCAACGCAUCCUUUACUUGUUGGAAAAACGCCAUCUCCCAUACUUCCGGUAUCUGCGUAGUGGGACAAAUUUAGCAGAUUAGGUGACAAUAUUUUUAUUUAUUUUUAUGUAUUCCACCCGCAUCAAUAUUUUAAUUUAUUUAUUUGUGUUACACCCACAUUUUAUAAUAUUGUCUUAUCCCACAUUUAUAGACACUACAAGCAUAAGCAUUCUACAAUGCAAAGAACCACAACAAAUCACUCAACAAAUGGGAAUGUUGGGAAAUUGUCAAAGAUUGCCCCAGAUACAAAAUUGUGGCAACUAGUCCAGAAGUUGUCAUGCACAGCAUGGGUCUACACAGUUCACUAGAAGCAGACACCGCCUAACAAGAAGGCGACAUAGUUGAGGACACAGAAGAGACGCCUGAUGAACUGCCGGGGACCCAACCGACUCAUCAGUCCCUCAAUCCUCAAGGUAAAAGAGCAUCAAAGAAAAAUGUAGUUCUUCCAAAAAUGAAUACACUAAAUAUAUGGACGAACUUGCUCGCUAAGGUGAACUGACCAUGGCGCAGGAAGCUGCUAGAGAUGAGGAAAAAGUUGCUGCUAUGGCAGCAAUAUUAGUAGCUACUGAGAGACGUGAUGCGGCAGUUGAGAGACAAAGAGAAAUAGUUAAUCGAGAGAACGAGAUGAUUAGAGAAGCACUUAAUCGAGAAAAUGAGAUGCUUAGAGAAGAAAGGAUGGCUCAAGCAGAUCGUGACACUAUGAACAAGGACAUUUAGGUCAUUCUGAACUCCUGGAACACCAAAAAAAGCAUGCCAAAUCCAUGUAUCAAAUGAAGCCACCGCUUCCAAAAUUAUACUCUUGGCUCAUUUUCUGUCGCCAUAAGCUCCUUGCCACACACUUGGACAAUUUUUCCAAGUCCAGUGCAUGCAGUCGAUGCUUCCAAUCAUGUCAGGGAAGCCUUGCAUCUCACCUUUCCUUAGAAGCCUUCGCAUGUCCCUUGGCAUGGGUGUCUGGAGGUAUUCAUUGGUGUACAGGGCUUCAAUUGCAGAGCAAAACCUCAUCAGGGACUCCAAAACAGUUGUUUUUUCCAUCCUCACGAUCUCAUCCACUUGAUCUGCAGAUAGUCCAUAUGCAAGCAUUCGCAAGGCAACCGUAAUUUUUUGCUCAGGAAGAAGACCUAGAACAUGAAAAGCAUCAUCUUUUUGCACAAAGUAUGGAUCAUGGUUGCAAAUAGCACUCAUGGUUUUGUCGAACAAACUUUGUUGCAUUCUAAAACGACGUCUAAAAACAUGAUCAGGGAAUAUGUUGUUGGGAAUAAAAUAAUCUUCCAAGAGAUCUUUACCUCGUCUUUCCCUUUUUCUAUCGAAGUUUGCAGCACGUCUAGGUUUGACUAUCUGAUCCACAGCUUCCAUGACACGGCGGGAAUGUGAGGCCCUCUGCCUUCUAUGGUCAUCAUCCUCAUCCUCAUCCUCCUCCAUUGCAAAAGCCUCAUCUCCACCUCCACCUUCCUCGAGAUUGACCAAUUCUUCCUGUUGUGCCAACAAUCUUUUCUGUUGCUCCUUAAAUUGUUUAUAUACUCUCCUUGUGGAACACAUUGUAAAAAAACUCAAGAUUUGAAAAUGAUGAAAAAGGAUUCUGAGCUAAAAAGAAGGAUUGAGUUUGGUGUGAGGAUCAUGUAGAGAUGUAGGAUUUAUAUGGACAAAAGAAGAAAGGAUAAGGUUCUGGACAAUGCCACGUGGCAUUACAUGAUUUGUUGAAAAUCUUAUCGAAAUCUUGGCUAAGUUAUUACAAACAGGAAGUGACACGUGGCUCAUCGGGAUUGGUUGAAAAUCUUAUCAGAAAUCUAUCCACAAAAUAGUAUGUUUGGAUACUGACACGUGGCGUAAUAAGAUUGGUUGAAAAUCUUAUCGUAAUCUUGGCUAAAUUAUUGUAAACAGAUAGUGACACGUGGCGUGUUGGGAUUGGUUGCAAAUCUUAGCGAAAAUCUAUUCACAAAAUAGUACGUUCGGAUAAUGACACGUGGCGUGACGAGAUUGAUUAAAAAUCCUAUCCGAAAUUAAAUUUUUUUAUUUAUUUAUUCUUUUAUAAAAUAUUUUAAAUGGGCUGGGUGUCAGCGCAUUUUGUAGGGGUAUAGAUCGUUUGUACCAGCGCAUUUUUAAACUUUGUGCCGGUGCAUUUUUUUAGGGAUGAAGAUGUAUUUGACCUAUUACUGUUCAUUAGGGUCUAUCACUGUUCACUGAGUGGAUAAAUGCGCUAGAUGUUGGCGUAUUUGUGUUAGGGGGGAAACUGCUCUAACAAGAGAACAAACGUACACGUAUAUGUAUGUUAAAAUACAGUAAAGCCAACCGAGCCUAAAAUGCUUAUAUUUUUCUUUUUUUUUUUUUAGCUGUCAAGACGAACUUACUCAAAGGACGACGUUUUGAGCUAGAUUUUUCUAUGAUUAAUCUGUAGCGUUCUCAUCAUAAAUUAGUUAUCUGUUCAGCCCAAACAAACUUCAUAUUAAACGAUUUUUAUUAUGAUACUUGUGCAAUAAUAUAUUAAUUAUAAUGAGUCAACAAGUAGACAUGUAUUUUACAAAAUGAAGAAUAAGCUCCUUUUAACUUUACCAAAUGUUUUCAUCCACGAAGUCGAUAAUAUGACGCUGGCAUGUGUCUAGUUCUUUUUUUUUUUUUUUUUUUUUGAAAGGGGCAUCAUGUGUCUAGUUAUGAGAAGUAGGAAUAUACGCUAGAAGAUUAUGGAAAUCAACAUCUUCAUAAGAUGACUCAUUCCUUUAAUUGCAAUUAGAACCCUGCAUGUGUACCACACAUAUUAUAACACUAGUCUACUUUCUCGGGUUAUAUAUUAUUUAUUCUAAAAGAAAUUAGGUUCAUAUUCUUCUUUUUGUUACUUCAUUGAUUAAAAUCUUAUUCAUUUUUAAUUUUUGAUCAAAGUCCUUGGGUAUUAAUAACAUCAUUAAUUAUUUGAAUAAUAAAAUAUUUUUAUUUUUAAUAUAUUCCCUUAGUGUUAAAAAUGUUACAAUAAGUAUAUUUAUAUUUAUGGCUAAAUUUUUUAUCAUAUAUUUUUAUUUUAGUUUGUACCUAUUUUUAAUUUGCAAAUAUUUUUUAAUUUGUAACAAGUUUCUUUUCAUUUUUAAUUUGUAUUCAAUAUAUUAUUUUUUUUGUUUGUGCCCAUAUUUUUUAAAGUUUUUUUUGUGUUUGUACUCAUGUGUAUACCGUCACGUGACAUUGUAUAUUUAAUCAAUAAUAGAAAAAUUACAUAUGGUAUAUUUAUGUUUUAUGCCUAAACUUUGUAUCAUAUAUUUAUAUUUCUAGUUUGUACCCACUUUUAAUUGGAACAUUUUUUUUUAAAUUUGCAGUAUUUUGUUUUUAGUUUUAUUUUGUACCCAUGUAUUAAUUUCUUUUAGGGCCUAUAUUUUUUAAAAAUUCAUUUGUACUCAUAAUUUUUUAAUCUUUUAUAUGUACCCUAAUUUAUUUAUAAUGUACCCAUUCUUCUUUAUUAAUGAGGGAUUUUAAAUUUAUAAUGUACCAUUUCUAAUAGUAUUAUAAUGAGGGAUUUUAAAUUUAUAGGAUUAUAAAUCUCAUAAUAUAUCAAACAAUUAAUGUCAAAACUAUAAAAAUAUAAAUAUUAAUAGUAAUAUAAUGAAGUGUACAAAGUCAAAGGACUUUAAUCAAACUUUGAAUACCAUUAAGGUUUUAAUCAAACAAUGUUAAAAAUUAGAGACCGCAUGUCACAGCCCGUCCCAAAUAUAUAUUUAUCGACGGCGUGAAUUGACAAAUAUACCCUUGGACGUUAGUUAUGUAAUGUGGCUUAAGUGUAGCUUUGGGUUAAUAUUCUUAAAUCCUAAUUGUUUGGAACCAAUUAGGAUUAAGUUAUGUUUUUUUUUUUUUUUUUUUUUUUUGUGGUUGACCAAUCCUAGGCCACACACACACUAUCUCUCUUCUCUAUUCGGUACCCUCUCCUCCCUCUCGGACUCUCAUUCUCCCUCUCAUUCGAACUCGUAUGGACAAACAUCCAAAGCUCUUGAAACUUCACGGAUUGAAGCUUUAAAGGUAAGGUUCUUGCUCAUUGUAACCUCCUGAGUACAUUGAUACCCUUGUUUGGACGUGAAUGCUUCAAAAACUCGAGAAAACCCUAACCCCGAUUUUGUGCACUGUUCAUGCACACGUAAAAUCUUGUGUUUCAGGGAAUUCUAAGGCCAUAAGAAGCUUAAGGAGGUGCUCAUGAGUCUAGGGGUACUUCGUUGGAAGGAUUUGGACGUCGGAUGACUGAGAUCGAUGUGUUUCUAGGUAAGCCGAGCUAUCGACCUUUCUCAAGAAAAGUCUAGCAGAAUUUAAGCCUUGAAACUUGUAUAACGUGAUUCUACAUGUUAUUAGCUUCAUUUUGGUACCAAUUUCAUAAAAAAUGGUUGAAAAAUGAGUGAGAAUAGUAGGUUUAAAGUUUUACCCAGUUUUCCGACGACCGGCGACUCGCCGGAGAAGAUGACGGCAUAUUCCGUCAAUUUGGACGGAAUAUGCUGACGCCGUCAGUCAGUUUUAACGGAAUCUGUUAGGUUUAAUAGAAUAUUCCCUAACGGUGGUUAGGGAAUCCGUCAAGUUUGGCCGCACGUAGGGGCGCGUUUUGCCGUGCCCUUGCCAGCGCGUGGGGGCACGUGAGGCUUCCAAAAAAUUUUCUAAAAAUUUGGGGAUGAUCCUGAGGUUGUGUAGAUCACUGUGGUAUAUUCAUAUACCCAAUUUGAGCAAUGUAUGAGAAGUUAUUAGCUAGUUUUGCCUAUGUGCUUUAAAAUAACGUUUUUAUAGUUAAUUCGCAUAUAGGUGAGACUUAUCCCGAGGACGAGCGUAUCCACGGGCGACUCGGGGGCUACGACCCUUCGACAUACCAGUGAGUCGGCUUUUGUUUCCAGUAUAUAUUUAUAUACUUGAUAUAUUUCUCAGAAAUGCAUUUUAAGGAAAGUAUGCUUUGAAAUAAUAUGUCAAAUGCUUUUAUAUUCUGAAUAUGCAUUUCAUGGUUGCAUAUAUAUAUAUAUAUAUAUAUAUAUAUAUAUAUAAAUGUGGUGCUGUGGAGGCACGGGUAAGUUCAGGUAAGUUAUGUUUGGCUAUGUGAAUCAUCGAUGAUGUGAUAUGUGAUUGAAUGAUGUUGAGGUCAUAAAACUGCACCUAGGGUAAUUGUGAUUUAGCCAGAGAUAUGAACUACAACCCUGUUUAUUUACGUCACCUCCCGCACUAUAUGCUCAUAUUGGAUCCAACUUAAGUGCACAGUCUUGUCGUACAGACCUUAUUUAUGGUUCCAACUCGUAGGUGACUAGUGAUUUAUCGCCCGACUAUUAUGAGAGAGUAAAAUUGAGCAUAAUUAUAUUACACCCAAUCUUGUCAUACAGACCUUUAUAGGGGUUCCGACUUAUGUGCAGUAUAUUGCCGUAUAGGUCAUUGUAUUGACUCCGGCUAGAUUGUUUUUAAGCUGUGAAUUUAGCCGUACAGACUACCACAGGGAUUCCGGCUAACAUAUCAUAUUUCUAUGAAUUUAUUUUUACCUGAAUUGCUUACUCUGUUAUAUAUUGGCAUGGUAUAUAUAUCUGAAUAUGAUUAUGUGAAGCAUGAAUUGUAUUGAUAUGAAUUCAUAUAUAUGUAUACAUACAUUAUGCAUAUUCUUAUAUUCUGAUUCUGGGAAAAAUUAUACAUGUUUUACAGCGAGGGGUUAGAUAUGUUGAUGAAAAUGAUUUUGUAAUACAUUUGUUUUUGCCCACUCAUGUUUUAUGUUUUGCGCCCCUCCAGGUUUUAAGUAAGCUUGCUGUUGGUGGCUUGAGGACGUCGGCAGUUUUGACUUAUCUAAAUAAUAGUAGGACAUUUCUGGUACUGUAUAACUAGUACUUAUCCUAUUAGACUUCACCUAGACUUUAUGCUCUGAUUAGGAGUGUUCACUGUUGUAACUAACUCCUAUAACUUUUUGUUUAGUAGUGCACUCUAGUAAUUUGGUUUUUAAUUAUUCGUAUAUUUCUUAUCUUUAUUGCUUCCACACUGUGCACAUAGCUACGUCACUCUCACAUGACGACCAGCGUGCCUUGAUCUCGGUUGUGGUGUGUCAGUUUGGUAUCAAAGCCUAGGUUUAGCAGUCCUGUAUAAUUCUUGAAUGUUCUAAUCUUUGUGAUGUCUUAUGUCAGAAGUAUGCCGCCUCAUAGAGGGCCCCAUCAACUAGCUGAAUCUAGUUUCCCUGAUAUUGCUCAAUUAGGGGAAGCUAUAGUUUCUGCCAUUCAGACAGCAUUCCGUACUCCUCAUAGGACACCUCUUGAGACAGUUCACAAUCUGAAGUUGACUCACUUCAUGGGUAAUGAAGGUCAUGAGGGGGCAGAAAAAAUGGUUGAAUCAUGUAGAUAAGACCUUUCAAGUGAUGCAGAGUUAGGGGAAUCUUUCUUCUGAUAGGUGGGUUGAGACGACUACCUGGUUUUUGGGAGAAUAGCCUGCAUCCAUGUGGAGACAGGAGUCUUACUAGAUUACCCUAGAAGAGAUUGUAGACUGGGAAGUGUUUAAGGAACGGUUUCGGAAAAGGUUUAUUCCUCCUGCAUAUAUCGAUCUUAAGAAACAAGAGUUUACUCAUCUGAGGCAAGGAAAGAUGUCCGCUAAUGAGUAUUACAGGAUGUUUACUGAUAUGUCAAGAUAUGAUCUGAAGGUUGCUGCUAAUCCAGUAGAGAUGCUUCGCCACUUCAGUUUGGGUACUAAGAAGAAAUGGCGUUCCAUAGCGAUGUGUACUCACUGUGCCUCUUACCAGGAGUUCUAUGAGAUUCUACUGAGGAUUAAGGCCUUAGAGAGCAUGCCUAGUGAAAGUGAAGAUGAGGAAGGAAAGAAUGGGGGCCAGAAACGAGAUGACAAAGGAAAAGGGCAAGCAUUUCAGGGACCCCGCAAGACCCAAAACUUUAAGAGGAGUGGUGGCAGUGAAGGAAAUAUUGUGAAAAACAUGUUCAUUUAAGCAACAUCUAUAGCAUGCAAUUAACAAUUAAAAGGCGGAAUCAUGCUUGUAUGCACUUAAAACAAAACAUUAACCAUGAAAUUCAAAGCCUAGUAGAUUGGUGAACCUUGACUCAACUUAAAACAACAUUUGUUAGUUGAGAAAUUAUACCUUUGUAGAUUCCUCUUUGCAUAAGCAAAGGCUAAUCACCCAAAGAGAGGGCCUUCAUUCCUUGCAUCUUAGAUCUAUGGAUUUGGAUGGAUGAAAUGGUUCUCCAAGUUCCCAAAAUUGAGAACCUCUAAGUCUCUUCACCAAGGUUAGAUUGGAGAAGAAAUGAGUGACCUUGGAGUAGUAGGAUUGCUAGCUAAACUCUCCAAGGAGGCCGGCCACUUUAGAGAGAAAGGAGAGCUUAUGUUCUCAUCCUUUCCCCAAAAGAAAACCCUAAAAGAAUUUUGGCUAUAAAGUCAUAAUUAUACCUUUAUUCAUUGGAAUGGCAAACUUGUAAUUAAAGCAAGUUCACUACCCUUCCUCUAAAUGGCCGGCCAUAGGGUUCUAUUGGGCUUUUUGGGCCUUUGUGAAUUAAGUUGUCAUACAACUUAAGUUAAUGGGCUUGACGUUUGAAGCCCAUUGGGCCUUGAGGCCCAAAACUAACCCGUGGUCUUUUAACGAACUUUAUUCGUUUGAUUAAUUAACAUAUUAAUUAAUCCUUGCCAUAAAUAAAUAAUCAAACCAUUUAAUUAUUCUUACUCAUCUCCUUUGUUUCUUCAAUCUCCACCUUACACGGUGUACGAUCCAUUAGGUUCCUUUUAGCGAGGCAGUGGGCGAUUAAAACCAUUUCAAAUCGAUUGUGAAUUGAAACUUACUUUCAAUUCUCCCUUUAGUGUUUAUACACGUUUAGGGCUUCCACAAACCAUGAGUGACACCUAGCAGUAUGUCAUGGUUACCCAAGCUAAUCAGAAGAGGUGGAGAACCUAUUUAGUUUAGGAUUACAAUGCAAUACGGUCUUUCUCUAAUACAAUACUCUUGAUCACAUUGUUUGGAUUGAUAGUUUAUUCAUGUCUACUAUCCAAUGUGAUUCAUUUACUUAUAUGAUUACUUUGAAUGUGAUUUGGAAUGACUUCCUAAAUCUCAUUCAUACUCUGGCCAGAGAUUCUUAAUCAUAUCAUAGAGUAUUCUCCCCCAAACGGUUUGAAGGUUAGAGAUCCCUUGUUGCGCAUUCACUUGCCUCCAUGGCUAAGUGGCUUAACCCCGACGAUGCCGUGGACACCCGCGGAUGGGGUGACUUUGACAUAAUCAAAGAUCAAGUACCUAACCACAAGACAACUAUGAUGCCUCAGGUUAAAGGACUAUUUUGCAUUAUCCCAACCAUGAGUUCUCAUGUGACAUGAGUAUGAGAACUCCUCGUUGAUCGUGUUCAGUGGACUCAUUCAUUAUUGAGCACCUACAUGUUUGUCUUGGUGUCAAUCACACCAAUGACUCGAGACUAGUCACUCUCACUAAGAGAAGACAUAGCAUGUACUGAUCUUAACCGACUGUCAAUGCCCAAUUGGCAAUCCUAUGAUCAGGAGCGUUUAGGAUAUGUAUACGAAAGAGAAUGGUCUCAGUAAUCUAACUUGUUUAAAUCACAUUCUCCUAAUUACAUAUUCCUUGGACUUAUCGUUUAAGCAUAUAACAUUUAUAUGAGACGGCUUAAACAAUAAUAUUUGCCCUUGAUAUUAAACUAGAUUAGUUUAACAUGUGAAAUAUCCAUAAAGUAUCAUCAUAUGAUUGGUUUUAGGGCACAUUUCCAACAGGCAGUUCCAGCUCUUCUAGCGGAGGAUUUAGUACUAAUAUGCAGAGGAGAGGUGGUAGAUUCACUGGAGGUUCGAGGUUCCAGAGAUAGAGAGAUUUUGGUGGUCCAGGUCUAUUUGGUGCUCCCUUAUGCCGCAUGUGUAAUAAUCGGCAUUUUGGGGAGUGUAAAAGAGGCAGCAAUGGAUAGUUUACUUGUGGACAGAUGGGUCAUAGGGCUGCUCAAUGCCCUCAGAGUCAGCAGAGACCUCAGCAGCCUUCAUUCCCACCACCUGCACCUACCCAGCAUGCUUCAGGAUCUGGUGGUUAUACUCAGACUGGACGAGGAGGUGCCUACCACUAUCAGGGCGACGUCGUUCCUUACACCUCAAGACAACAACAGUAUUCUCUGGAUCCUCAGUAUCAGAGUGGGUACCCUUAGUAUCAGGGAGGAUCUAUGUCUUAUCAGCCACAUUCAGUCGACGGAUCUCAGUGGUACCAAGAGGGACAGCCCCAGCAGGGAAAGAUUGCUGCUAGUAGUGCAGGAUCUGAGAGGCAGUCGGGUCAGUAGAGACAGAGACGUGGUAUUCAUGCCAACAGAGGUCGCGAUGGACGACAGCAGAAUUAGGGACGUAUCCACAACAUGUCACUGCAAGAUGCCCAGAAUAAUCCAGAUUUAACGAUGGGUACGUUAAAUAUUUUUGGUCAUUUUGCUAGAGUGUUGUUGAUUAUGGUGCUACACAUUUUGUUAUUUCUCAUACAUUUGCUCAAGUGACACAACCUCAUCCUACACCUCUGGGAUAUAAUUUAGAAUUUUCUAUGCCUAGAGGGGAUAGCUGUUUUGUGGAUCGGGUAUAUCCAGGAUGUCUAGUGAUAGUAGAGGAUAUUAUUAUGCUGGCUAAUCUUAUGUCGUUGGAUAUUAUGGAUUUUGAUGUGAUUUUGGGCACUGAUUGGUUGCACUAUAAUCGUGCCAAAAUAGAUUGUUAUGGAAAGAUAGUCACAUUUCAUUGUCCUGAAUUACUUGAAGUUACAUUUGUAUGAGAGCCUAGUAGGGUGAGGCAUGGUAUUAUUUCAACCAUGAAAGCAAAAAGAUUGUUGUCGAAAGGUUGUCAGGGAUAUUUGGCUCAUGUGGUGUUGAACGAUGAUGCUCCUAGUAGUGUGGAGGAUGUUCGUGUGGUCAAAUAUUUUCCGGAUGUAUUCCAUGAGGAUUUUCCUGGAUUGCCUCCAAAUAGAGAGGUGGAGUUUGUUAUUGAUUUGCUUCCAAGUACGAAUCUCAUAUCCUUAACUCCUUAUAGAAUGGCUUCUGCUGAAUUAAAGGAAUUGAAAGUGCAAUUACAAGAGUUAGUGGAUAAAUGUUUUAUUCAGCCAAGUACUUCACCUUGGGAGCUUCAGUUUUAUUUGUGAGGAAAAAAGAUGAAACUUUGAGGCUGUGCAUUGAUUACAGGCAAUUGAAUCAGGUAACCAUUAAGAACCGUUAUCCAUUGCCUCGUAUAGAUGAUUUAUUUGAUCAACUCAGAGGUGUCUGCGUAUUUUUUAAGAUUGACUUGAGGUCAGGAUACUAUCAAUUGAAGAUUAAAAAUGAAGAUGUCCCUAAAACCGCAUUCAGAACUCGAUAUAGUCAUUAUGAGUUUCUUGUGAUGCCAUUCGAGUUAACUAAUGCACCAGCAGCUUUUAUGGACUUGAUGAAUUGAGUAUUCCAGCCAUAUUUGGACAUGUUUGUUAUUGUUUUCAUUGACGAUAUUCUAGUAUACUCUAAGUCUAAGGCUGAGCAUGCUAGACAUUUGAAGUUGGUGCUGAGCAGUUUGAGGGAACACCAACUAUAUGUUAAGUUUAACAAAUGUGAAUUUUGGUUGAAUCAAGUGGCAUUUUUGGGACAUGUCAUCUCUGCUCAAGGUAUUCAAGUGGAUUCUUAGAAAGUGGCAGUUGUGGAGAAUUGGGAGCAACCUCAAACAGUCACCGAGGUACGGAGUUUUCUUGGCCUAGCAGGCUACUAUAGACAGUUCGUUAAAGAUUUUUCAAUGAUUGCUCUGCCAUUGACGAGGUUGACUUGAAAGGAUGUUAAGUUUGAGUGGGAUAAUAAAUGUGAGCAAAUUUUCUAACAGAUGAAGUACUACCUCACUCAUGCACCUGUUCUAGCACUUCCUAAUGAUAGCGGUAAUUAUGAGGUUUAUAGUGAUGCUUCUUUGAAUGGUUUGGGUUGCGUAUUGACGCAACAUGGUAGAGUAAUUUCUUAUGCUUCGAGACAGUUGAAACCUCAUGAGAAGAAUUACCCUACACAUGAUUUGGAGUUAGCAGCUAUUAUCUUUACUUUGAAGAUUUGGAGACAUUAUCUUUAUGGUGAGAAAUGUAAGAUCUUCACAUAUCAUAAGAGUCUCCAGUAUCUGUUUACUCAGAGAGAUCUUAAUCUUUGUCAGCGGAGGUAGAUUGAAUUACUUAGUGACUAUGAUUGCACGAUUGAGUAUCAUCAUGGUCGUGCAAAUGCAGUGGUGGAUGAACUUAGUAGAAAGACUCCAGCCAGACUUAAUGCCAUUUAUGAUUGUCAUGUUCCUCUCCUAGCAGAUUUGAGGUCCACUGGAGUGGAGCUAGGAGUGGAAGAUCGAGAAGAAGCCUUGCUUGCUAAUUUUCAGGUUAGGCCAGUUUUAAUUGAUCGUGUGCUUGAGGCUCAGAUGAUGGAUGAGGAGACCCAGGAAAUAAUUCAAGCAAGGAACCAAGGCAAAAAGAAAGAUUUCGAGAUUCAAGAAAUUGAUGGCAUGCUUAUGCAGGAAAGCAUGAUGUAUGUGCCGAAUAAUGUAGAGUGAAAGAAAGAAAUUUUGGAUGAAGCACAUAUUUCAGCAUAUGCGAUGCAUCCAGGAGGCACUAAGAUGUAUCAUACCAUUAGACCAUUUUAUUAUUAGCCGGGUAUGAAAAGAGAAAUUGCCGAAUAUGUGAGUAGGUGUGCCAUUUGCCAACAGAUUAAAGCUGAAAGAAAGAAGCCGUUUGGUUGAUACAACCACUUCCCGUUCCACAGUGAAAAUGGGAAAAUAUUACUAUGGAUUUUGUGUACAAGCUUCCUCGUACACAGAAUGGAUAUGACGGCAUUUGGAUGGUAGCUGAUCGGCUUACGAAGUCAGCACAUUUUAUUCUAGUAAGGGAGAAGUAUUCGCUAUGCCGAUUAGCUAAGUUAUUUAUAUCACAUAUUGUUAAGUACCAUGGUGUGCCAGUUAAUAUUAUCUCGGAUCGGGAUCCUAGAUUUAGUUCUAAGUUCUGGAUAGCAUUCCAGGAAGGUCUUGGUACGAGAUUACUUUAUAGUAUGACAUAUCAUCCUCAGACAGAUGGACAAUCUGAGAGGACCAUUCAGACAUUAGAGGAUAUGUUGAGAUCUUUAGUGCUGCAGUUUGGAGAUAGUUGGGUGAUUGUUUGGAUUUGAUGGAGUUCGCCUACAACAACAGUUAUCAUUCGAGCAUUGGUAUGGCACCAUUUGAGGCACUUUAUGGGAAAUCUUGUCGUACGCCUCUAUGUUGGUCAGAGGUUGGCGAAAGAGUUUUAGUAGGCCCUGAGAUUGGGGAUGUGACUACUCAAAAUGUUCAGGUAAUUUAGUCUAACCUGAAAGCGGCCCAAGAUCGACAAAAGAGCUUAGCAGACAAGCAUGCUACUGAUCGGAAGUAUGAUGUAAGUGAUUGGGUAUUUCUAAAGCUAUCACCUUGGAAAGGUGUUGUACGAUUUGGAAAGAAAUGAAAGUUGAGUCCUAGGUACAAUGGACCAUAUAUGAUCACCGAGCGAGUCGGUGAGGUUGCUUACAGGCUUGAGUUGCCUCCAGAGUUGUCCAAGGUGCACAAUGUAUUUCAUGUUUCGAUGCUUCAACAUUAUGUUUCAGAUCCUUCACAUGUGAUUCCUCCUCAACCUUUGGAAAUCAAUUUGGACUUGACUUAUGAUAAGGAACCAGUGACUCUGUUAGAUUGGAAGGAUAAAGAACUGAGGAACAAGACAGUUCGUUUAGUAAAAGUGUUAUGGAGAAAUCAUUCAGUGGAAGAAGCUACUUGGGAGACAAAGGAUCGGAUAAGAGAGAUGUAUCCACGAUUGUUUUAUGAUUCUUAGUGGAUGUAUUUGUUAUGUAUAAUUUCGAGGACGAAAUUUUAUAAGGUGGGGAGAUUGUCACAGCCCGUCCCAAAUAUAUAUUUAUCGACGACAUGAAUUGACGAAUAUACCCUUGGACGUUACUUGUGUAAUGUAGUUUAAGUGUAGCUUUGGGUUAAUAUUCUUAAAUCCUAAUUGUUUGGAACCAUUUAGGAUUAAGUUAUGUUUUUUUUUUUGGUGGUUGACCAAUCCUAGGCCACACACACACACUCUCUCUUCUCUUUCCCGUACCCUCUCCUCUCUCUCGGACUCUCACUCUCUCUCUCAUUCGAACUCGUACAAACAAACAUCCAAAGCUCUUGAAACUUCACGGAUCGAAGCUUUAAAGGUAAGGUUCUUGCUCAUUGUAACCUCCUGAGUACAUUGAUACCCUUGUUUGGACGUGAAUGCUUCGAAAACCCGAGAAAACCCUAACCCCGAUUUUGUGCAUUGUUCAUGCACAUGUAAAACCUUGUGUUUCAUGGAAUUCUAAGGGCAUGUUAUUAGCUUCAUUUUGGAACCAAUUUCAUGAAAAAUGGUUGGAAAAUGAGUGAGAAUAGUGGGUUUAAAGUUUUACCCAGUUUUCCGACGACCGGCGAUUCGCCGGAGAAGAUGACGGCAUAUUCCAUUAGUUUGGACGGAAUAUGCUGACGCCGUCAGUCAGUUUUAAUAGAAUCUAUUAGGUUUAAUAAAAUAUUCCCUAACGGUGGUUAGGGAAUCCGUCAAGUUUGGCCGCGCGUAGGGGCGCGUUUUGCCGUGCCCUUGUUGGUGCGUGGGGGCACGUGAGGCUUCCAAAAAAAUUUCUAAAAAAUUUGGGGAUGAUCCUGAGGUUGUGUAGAUCACUGUGGUAUAUUCAUAUACCCAAUUUGAGCAAUGUAUGAGAAGUUAUUAGCUAGUUUUGCCUAUGUGCUUUAAAAUAACGUUUUUAUAGUUAAUUCGCAUAUAGGUGAGACUUAUCCCGAGGACGAGCGUAUCCACGGGCGACUCGGGGGCUACAACCCUUCGACAUACCUGUGAGUGGGCUUUUUUUUUCAGUAUAUAUUUAUAUACUUGAUAUAUUUCCCAGAAAUGCAUUUUAAGGAAAGUAUGCUUUGAAAUAAUAUGUCAAAUGUUUUUAUAUUCUAAAUAUGCAUUUCAUGGUUGCAUAUAUAUAUAUAUAUAUAUAUAAAUGUGGUGCUGUGGAGGCACGGGUAAGUUCAGGUAAGUUAUGUUUGGCUAUGUGAAUCAUCGAUGAUGUGAUAUGUGAUUGAAUGAUGUUGAGGUCAUAAAACUGCACCUAGGGUGAUUGUGAUUUAGCCAGAGAUAUGAAGUACAAGCUUGUUUAUUUACGUCACCUCCCGCACUAAAUGCUCAUAUUGGAUCCAACUUAAGUGCACAGUCUUGUCGUACAAACCUUAUUUAUGGUUCCGACUCGUAGGUGACUAGCAAUUUAUCGCCCGGCUAUUAUGAGAGAGUAAAAUUGAGCAUAAUUAUAUUAACCCAAUCUUGUCGUACAGACCUUUAUAGGGGUUCCGACUUAUGUGUAGUAUAUUGCCGUAUAGGUCAUUGUAGUGACUCCAGCUAGAUUGAUUUUGAGCUAUGAAUUCAGCCGUACAGACUACCACAGAGGUUCCGGCUAACAUAUCAUAUUUCUAUGAAUUUAUUUUUAUCUGAAUUGCUUACUUUGUUAUAUAUUGGCAUGGUAUAUAUAUUUGAAUAUGAUUAUGUGAAGCAUGAAUUGAAUUGAUAUGAAUUCAUAUAUAUGUGUGUGUAUAUAUAUAUAUUAAUUAUGCAUAUGCUUAUAUUCUGAUUCUGGGAAAAAUUAUACAUGUUUUACAGCGAGGGGUUAGAUAUGUUGAUAAAGAAAAUGAUUUUGUAAUACAUUUGUUUUUGUCCACUCAUGUUUUCUGUUUUGUGCCCCUCCAGGUUUUAAGUAAGCUUGCUGUUGGUGGCUUGAGGACGUCGACAGUUCUGACUUAUCUAAAUAAUAGUAGGACAUUUCUGGUACUGUAUAACUAGUACUUAUCCUAUUAGGGGGCGUUUGUUUGACCGGAUUAAGGGGGACAGGACUAGACUAGACUAUAGUCCCUUGUUUGGUCUGAACAAGGAUUAAGUUUAAUGGGACUAAAGGGGACUCGCCCCGACUGAACGGUUCGCUAAACGUUCUUAAGGAGACCCCUCGAUUUCAAGUGGACUGGUAGUCCCGUUCUCUCCCCCGCCGCUGAUCCCUCAUCGUCUCCCUUCGCCUUCGCCCUCUCCCUUCUGAUUCGCACCUUCGCCCACUCCAUUGAGCCUUUACUAUCCCACCCAAACGCCUACACCCAGAAAAACAAUCCACUGAUUCCCUUCAUUUCUUCUUCGUUCAAUUCACUCUCUUUCUCAGCAAAAUCGUCAUGGUUGCAACCACCAGACGACCAUCACCAGAACCUUGUCGUCGAUCUCCGCGUUCGUGCGCGACCCAGAUGCAAGUCGGGACUGAAAGCGUACCAAAUGCCCAAGUACCAGUUGGGGUUUUCGUUUAUGGUGGGGAAGAAGCUGAGAAACUUGUGAAAUUUAGUAGAAAUUUGUGAAAUUUGGUAUUUGAAUUUUGUGAUCUGUGAGAAACUUGUAAAAUUUGGGCCUUAAGUUUUGUGAUUCAUGAGAAGCAGAGGUGGGGUUUGACGGGAAAAGAGGUAGAUGGAGAAGGAAGAGAGGUUUGACGGGAUGGAGAAGUGGGGUGAAAAAUGGUUACAGACAUUGUAGAAGUAAGAAGAAGAGAAUUCUAAAAAAAAAUUGGAAAAAGAUAAAGUAAUAGUAAUAUAUAAUAAAAUUUUAAUUAUAUAUAUAUAUAUUAAUUUAAUAUAAAAUAAUAUAAUAUUGCAGUCCUGCUUCUUAGUCCGACGCUGCACCAAACACUUCACUAAAUCAGUCCAGCUUAGUCUAGUCUAAGCCAGUCUAUCUUAGUCCCUGCAGCUAGUCCAGUCCAAGACAGUCCGGUGCAACAAACGCACCCUUAGACUGCACCUAGACUUUAUGCUCUGAUUAGGAGUGUUCAUUGUUGUAACUAACUCCUAUAACUUUCUGUUUAGUAGUGCACUCUAGUAAUUUGGUUUUUAAUUAUUCGUAUAUUUCUUAUCUUUAUUGCUUCCAUACUGUGCACAUGACUAUGCCACUCUCACGUGAUGACCAACGUACCUUGAUCUCGGUAGGGGUGUGUCACCGCAUCCAAAGUAUUCUUUUAUUCUAUGUCUCUAUUGCCACUGAAAAUAAAGCCAGGACUUUUAUAUGUAUACGAUAAAAACAAAAGAUAAGCAGAGCAUAUGAAAGUUAGCUCACAAGAAACAAGAGUAAUUUAUGUAAAAUAGAUUUAUUUGUUUUUGGCGUCUUGAUAUAAUUUUAUAGUAUCAUGUAAAGAAAAAAUAUGUAUCUAAUAAUAUAUUGUUACAUAAAAGACGUUAUAUAGAGUAUGCCUGUUUUAUGUUAGUCAUUUUAUUGUUUUUAUAGACAGGAGGAUGAACAGAAAUGUUAGAACUUUCGGGUACUAGAAUAAUUUGGGUAAAUGAAGUUACGUUCCAGGUGUUUGUUUUUUUUUUUUUCCUUUCUAAUCCACGUUCCAGGUGUCUAAAAAGCAAAUUGGCAUUGAGGAGAAAUUUUUAGGUGUUCCCGUCACCCCACAUCACCAUGGAUACUUGGUGUACCCAUCCAAUCAGGGGAUGCCACGUUUCCCAUUAAAAAAUCUUUAUUAUUUAUUUUUUAAGAAAAUCAAUUAAACAAACACUUUAAUGGGAAACGUGGCAUCCCCUGAUUGGAUGGGUACAUCAAGUGUGAUGGUGAUGUGGGGUGACGGGAACACCUAAAAUUUCUCGACACUGAGGAGACGAAAGGGAGAAUGCUUCACAAGUAAGCCACUUGAAGGGCAUUUUGGAACAUUAAAAUUGUGCAUCUUUUGGCCUUAUGAGUUUGAAAAGUGUAAACCCCGCAUGAGAACAAUACAUUUUUCAUUAUGAUCGGAAUACGAGUGAUACAUUUUGUGUUUUUAUAUAAGUGAUAAGAAAUUUUAUUUUUUUAAGUUAUUAACUUUUUAAUACACAGAUCCCACCAUUUGUAUAGUGACACAUGAUAUAUCAUCCCUUGUACCGGUCACAUUGAAAAUCUCUCACUUACGACUGCUCGUACAUGUCACAUUGUCGUAGUUCUGCAUGGCAAUUUCUUUCUCCUUUUUCGCGUAUAAAAUUAUUAGGAAACUAGAUUAUAAUCCCUAAAUAAGAUCUAUUUUCAUUAAAAUUGGGUGUAAGAUUAAAUACUGAUUUUGGUCAUUUGACUUUAUAUAUCACCUAAAAUCUAGCUAAUAAUUAUUAAUUUUUGUUUCGUUUUAUUUUUACUAUUAUAAAUAGAAUAUUUUUACUUAAUUUGUAUUCAAUAUGGGUACAAGAAUUGCUUAAGUGGUACAUAUGAACCUAUGUAUAUAUGUUGCCUAUAUAUAUGAACCUAUGUAUAUGCACCUAUAUGUACAUUUGUGUACCUAUACAUAUGAACCUAUGUGUAUAUGUGCUUAUAUAUAUGCACCUAUGUAUGUAUUCAUGUACCUUUAUAAUGUAUAUUGUUUAUUGUGUCUACAUAUUAAUUUAUUUGUUUCGUUUUGUGAUUGUCUGUAUAAAUUUUUAUAUAGUUUAAUUCUCAUUAGCAAAAUGAUUUAAAAAGUCUUUCAUUUUAAAUUACUAAAUUUGAUAUGUAGAAAUAAAAAUUUCUAUUUUUAAGGCCUUAUUGAUGAUUAAAUUAGGUAUUUUAGGAAAAAAAAUUUGAAAAUAAUAAAAGUGGGCAGGGGUAUUUAAUAUGAUUGAUAAUGAGUUUUAAAGUUAGGGACUAAAACUAGAUUUAUAAAAGCAUCCCGGUUAUAAUGAAAAAAAAAAAAAUCUUCUAUAGGUCCUUAAGUCUAAAUGUCACAGCCCGUCCCGGGAUUUUAUUUAUCGAGGACGUGAAAUGACGGGAUUGCCCUUAGUGGUUACUAAGGUAUGUGUGUGUGACAUAUUAUUGGACUAAAUACAUAUAUUCCUAAACUUAUGGAAAAAUAAUUUAAGUUGGAUUAAAGUUGGUGUGUAUGUUUUGUGUGGUUAGGGAUUUUAAGAAUUGGAUUGUGACUUGUUUUUGGGUGGACCACACACACACACACACAGGACAACCCUCUCCUUCCCCGUGCUCUCUCUCUCUCCUCUCCGUUUCAGUCUCUCUCUCCCUCUCGAAAUUGUACGGACAAAGCACCAAACCCUCGAACCUUCACGGAUCGACGCCAAAAAGGUAAGAUUCUUCAUCCUUUCAACCUCUUGAGUCGUUUGGUACUAGUUUUAGAACGGAAAACCUUAGAAAUCACGUUGAAAACCCGAGGUCCGAUUUGCGUAUUGUUCAUGCAUUCGUGAUGUGUUGAUUUUCAGGGAAUUCUAAGCUUAUAGUGAGCUUAGUGAGGUCCUAAGGAAGCUCGGAGUGCUUAGUUUGAAGGUUUUGGACGUCGCGAUCAUUGAGUUCGAAGUUGGCCGGCUUUCUUGGAAUUUCUCCGGUGAGAUUUCGUAGUUUUUAGAGCCUUAAAGUAGUGUAACGUGAUUCUACAUGCUUAGGGCUUCAUUUUGAUAUAAAAUACGUGAAAAAUGUUUGAGAAAUGACGGAGAACAAGGAGAUUGAAAAAUCUCCAGUUUUCCGGCGACCGGCGAACCAGUCCGGCGACUGGAGGUUAGGGGUGAUGCGCAUGGGGGCGCGUGGACCCAUACCCAUCCUGGCGCGUGGGGGCGCGUGCGGCCUCAGAAAUUUUUUCUAAAAAUAUGUCGACGUUCGUGACAUCGAGUAGGUCACUGUGGUAUAUUCAUAUACCUAAAUUGAGCACCGUAUGAGAAGUUAUUAUGAAUUGUCGGUUAUGUGCUUUAAAUAACGUUGUUUUAGUUGUUUCGCAUAUAGGUGAUACCUAUCCCGAGGACGAGCGCAUCCAGGGACGUCACGGGGGUUACGACCCUUCGACUUAUCAGUGAGUGGGCAAUUAUUUUAUGUAUUUACCUAUAUACUAUUGAUUUUCCCAGAAAUUGAAUUUAUAUGAAAGUAUGUUUUAAAAUGCCAUGCAUGCAUAUUGUGAAUUAUAUGAAUUGAUAAUUGAUGCAUAUAUAUAUAUGUGAAUUGGUGUUGUGGAUGCACAGGUGAGUAUCAGGUGAGUUUUAUGUUAUUCAUGUGAAUCAUUGAUGAUGUGAAUUGUGUUGACAGCUCAUAACCUGCACCCCUGGUGUUAGUGCUUAUAGUAUUCACCGCACCGCACGCUCACCUUGGAUCCAAGUAGGUGCAUGUCGUACAGACCAUGAGAGGGUUCCGACAUGCUAGUCGUAUAGAUCACUAGAGGUGGUUCCGACUGGUAGGUGACCUUAGAUUAUGCGCGCAAAUGAUUGAUGAGAGAAGCACUAGAGCGUAUUAUUUCACCAUUCUUGUCGUACAGACUACUUCAGGUAGUUCCGACUUAUGUGCAGAGUAGCGCCGUACAGGUCACCGUGGUGACUCCGGCUAGGUUGGAUAUUGAGCUAUAGAAUUAACCGUAUAGGACCAACUGCAAGGUCUCCGGUUGAUUCAUUAUGUCACCUGUUAUAUUGAUGCAUCCAUAUUCUGUCAUUGACAUUUAUAGCAUGGCAUACUUGCUGGAUUUUGAUAAAGAUUAAUGUUUUGAGAGAUUUGAACAAAUAGUAUGCUAUUAUGUUAUUUUCUGGGAAAGUAUACAGGUUUUACAGUGAGGGGUUAGGAAUGUUUUAAAUGAAAUGUUUUGGAAAACUUUGGUUUUACUGACUCACUCAGUUUUGUUUUGCGCCCCUCCAGGUUCUAGUUAGCAGUUGGUGGCUCACGAGGUUUUCUUCGGCGUUCUGACAGACUUCUUGCAUGUAGGACUCACCUGCGGGUGUUGUAAUUUAAUUAUAGUUCUACUUGACUGCACCUAGUAUUUCUGCUCUGAAAUUGUGUACUGCACACUUAAACUCACUCUAGCAUGCUAGUUGGAUAUUAUUGCUAGUAGUUGGUUUUUAUUCCUUCGUAUUUCUCAUAUCUUUUGCUUCCGCAUCGCACUUUUGGUUACGUCACGCUCACGUGACGGCCAGCACGCCUUGAUUCUAGGAUCAGGGUGUGUCACUAAAUGCCUCUAAAAUUAAACUUCUGAGUUGUGCAAUAACAUUAAUUAGUUAAAUAGUUAAUUGUUAGGAAAACAAGAAUUGAGGUUAAUUGAACUCUAUCAGAAUGUAUAAACGCUAGAGGAGCCAUAAUUUUAACUGGAGUCGUAAUUUUAACAACAAAAAAAACUUCAUUGAAUCCUUUCAUUGAGCUCUGGUGGGUACUUGCCAAGUUAUGCUACAUUUUAUAGCCCCAUCUAGUGAGGCAUUUACUGAACACAUCUUGUCUACCAUGUGGUUUCACACAAGAAGUAGGAGAAGAAAGACAAAGGAAAGACAUAAGAAAAUCUACAAAGAACUAUAAAUGGAGUCGCACAAAAGAAGCAGCAAGUUGUAAUUCAUUGUUUUUAACUCCCUUUAAUUCGUGUAUAGCUGUCAUAUAAAAAUAUACAGAUAUGUACUUUAGGAUUAUGAAACUAUUCAUGAGCAACCUAUGAUCCUAUGUUGACUCCUUCAUAAUGUAUACAUAUGUUUAUUUUUUGCUAUUACUAUAAAGCGCAAUAUGCUUGUUACAAUACUUAUCUUACAAAAAAAGUUUGAAUGUGGGAAAUCAGGGUAUACUUAUGUUUUUCAUUAGACUACUUUAUGUAGGUAAUGAUUAUUUGAAGACUUCUGCCAAAUCUUUCUAUUUACAUCAUUAAGGAAUUUAACUAAUAAUAUUACAUAUUGACCCAAGUGUAUAAUAAGUGUUCUAAAAAUGCUCUAGGCGUUGGUCGGUGUGGUACCAUUCCGAUUAGGUGCCAAUUGAUGGACAAAAAUGGGGAGGUGUUAGGCUCCCACCUUGACGCUCCUAGGCGACUUAGACAAUGUCUAGGAGGUGGUGCUAGGAGGACUCGCAUUUACCGUUCUAAUCACCUUCCACCUCCGGUCGCACCCACAUACCUCAAAUUUCCCAAAUAAAUUUGACGAUGAGAGAGAGAGAGAGAGAGAGAGAGAGAGAGAGAGAGAGAGAGAGAGAGAGGGAGGGGAGGGAUAGAGCUGUUGCAGGGAGGAAUGAAGGAGAGAAACGGCAGAUGAGAUUUAGAGUGAAAGGUGGGGUAGGAGCGGGUAAUGCAUGCCAGGGUUAGUGGGAUUUUCUUUAAUAAAAAGUUUAUGGACUGUUUUUCGAUGUAUAACAGGCCCAACUUCAAUUUUUAAAAUAAAUAAGGACCAAUAGUAAUUCCUGAUCUUAAAAAAACUCUAAAGUUUUAUAUAAUACUUAUAUUUUAUAAUAAAUAUUAAUUUUUGUAUGUUCUGUAUUUUAUUUUUUCAACAAGUAUGAUAUUUUUAUUGUAAACAUGCACUUAUUUAUAUAUUAUAUAAUAAAUUUAUUUUAAAAAUACAAAUUUGCCUAGUUCACCUAGACGCCUAGGCACUAGGCCUCAGUCUACCGCCCACUAGUACCUAGCAUAUUUUAGAAUCAUGUGUACAAUCGUACAAUUAAUAAUAUUUACAAUAGUCUCCGAGGAAGUGAAUGAUCAUUGUCCCAUUAAAAUUUCCGUUGGAAAAUUCAGUGGAUAACCAAAAUGGCAUGAAAAGAGAAUAACACAGUAUCAAACUUUAUAAAUAGGGCCGGCCCUGAGAUUUAUGGGGCCUCAUGCAACAGUGAAUUAGAGGCCCUAAAAUUGCGAAUUGUUGUGGCUUAUUUUAUCUAACAAGGAGAGAGAGGGGUGCGGCAGAGAGAUAAUGGAGAUGUAAUUCUAAGGUGUGUUAUUCACGCUAUGCAGUGCCUUUAUUAUACUAUGUUGAUGCACAAAACUAGAGGUCUUGGAACAACGUAAAUCUGAUCGUGAAUCUGCAAGAAAUGUAAAUAACACAAGAUGUAUCGUGGUUCACCCCAAGGUUUGGGCUACGUCCACACUGAUUAUUGUAUUUAUCUUAGAGGUGAAGGAGAGAACCUCUGAAUAUGAGAAGGGAUGUGAGAGGGGUGAGAAGGCUUCAGAAAUGGCCUCCUUAAUUGUGAGGGUGAGGAGUCCUUUUAUAGAAUAAGGGCUCCUCACUUAUUACAUAUUUGCCCAUUCCUUUAUUACAUAAUUACAUUUAAGUUCCUCGAGUAUUUGUACGAGAUCUAAAUACGGAGGCCUUAAAUAUGGUAUAAAUAGUAGUCCCCCAAGUCUUCAGUCAAGAGAGUCUUUUGGCUGGAGACUUGAAAUUCAGUCCAUGUGUGGGCCGAAGUAACUAGAUGUUGUCUUGGACUGAUGCUCGAUAUGAGGCGGUGCUCAAUCUAAAAUGAUGCUUUAUUAAAAGUAGCACAUGCUGCGAGGCUCGUGGCUUAUGUUGCCUUGGUUGGCUCGGCUUGUGGCGUUUAAGGUGAGGGAGUCUCUUUUAUAGAAUAAGGGCUCGCUCCUCAAUACAUAAAUGAUGGGCUAGAGUUGAUGUUCUCUAAUGAUGGUGAGGGAGUCCCUUUUAUAGAAUAAGGGCUCGCUCCUCAAUACAUAAAUAUGGGCUAGAGUUGAUGCUCUCUAAUGGUGGUGAGGGAGUCCCUUUUAUAUAAUAAGGGCUCGCUCCUCAAUACAUGAAUGAUGGGCUAGAGUUCCCCAAGUAUUUUUCAUGAGGCCCAGUUGAGGCCCAAUAUAUGGUACAUAAUGUAGUCCCCCAAGUCUUCGGUCAAUAGAGUCUGUUGGCUGGAGACUUUAAAUUGAAUCCAUGUAUGGGCCGAAGUGGCAGUUGUUCGGAGGCGGUAUUUGUAUACCCUGCACUGAAGCUGGAGCUUUGUAAAUAAAGCUUUUGAAGCUAGAGCUUUGUAAAUGAAACUUUUGAAGCUAGAACUCUGUAAAUGAAGCUUUUGAAGCUAGAGCUUUUGUAAAUGAAGCUUUUGAAGCUUUUGAAGCUAGAGCUUUUGUAAAUGAAGCUUUUGAAGCUAGAACUCUGUAAAUGAAGCUUUUGAAGCUAGAGCUUUUGUAAAUGAAGCUUUUAAAGCUGAUUAACAUGAGUGAUACUCAUGAAUGUUUAUGUUAAGUGAUGCUCAUGGAUGUUGACAUGAGUGAUGCUCAUGGAUGUUGACAUUAGUGAUGCUCAUGAAUGUUUAUGUAUGAUUUAUAUGAGUAAUGCUUAUGAAUGUUUAUGUAUGAUUGACAUGAGUAAUGCUCAUGUAUAAUUUGGGAGUACUGGACGUGCUUUUGAUCACUUGGUUGGUGGUAAUAGUGGCAGGUUGCUGAAUAGUUUUAGAGUACUAGGCAUACUUUUGAUCACCUGGUUGGUGGUAAUAGCGGCAGAUUGCCAAAUAAUUAUGGAGUACUGGACUGGGCGUACUUUUGAUCACCUGGUUGGUGGUAAUAGCGGCAGGUUGUCGAAUAAUUGUGGAGUACUGGGCAUACUUUUGAUAGCCUGGUUGGAGCUAUUUUGGGCUUAUGGGCCUUCGCCCUCCACAUAACAUUCCAGCCCAUUUAUUUUGGGCUUUGUUUUUUUUUUUUUUUUACCCUAUGAUGGGGUUUAUACAGAUGCCUCCAAAAGAUAAGAAAAAUAAAUUACAUCGCUUUAAAGUAAGGAACCCUUAUCUUCUUCCUAGGUCUUCCCGUAGUUUUCUCAGAAAAUAGGAACAUGCAUGAUGAAAGUGUGGGCAUCUUUUUUGGUUUUAGUAAGAUCUCCCUUUUUCUUUUUCUUUUUUCUUUUGCAUUGUCCGCCAUGUGCUCCCACAUGAUUCUCCCUUUUUCUUUUUCUUUUUCUUUUGCGUUGUUCGCCAUGUGCUCCCCCAUGAUUCUCCCUUCUAUUCAAAUGAUUCUCCUUGCUAGCCUCCACAUGCACUCUCAUCUCGUUCACGUGCAGCUCCCCACCUUCAGUCCUCUGCCCGAGGUGGGUAAUGGUGACGGUCUUAUGCUCAUCUCUCUGGUGGUCUGACGGGCAGAUCUGUGGUUAAUUCAAAACGGUUUUUUGCUUCUUGCAAUAUCUGGGCAAGAUCUAGAUGCUGAUUGGGGUUGUAUCUCCUAGUAUCAGCCAUGACGAGCUCGCAUAAACCUAUGAACUUCAACUGAAAAGCCAUAUCUUCACAGGAGCGGGAACGCGAGCGGGAGUGGGAGGAUGAGCCAGAUGUGGAGCUUGACGGCGAGCGAUGGGCUCGAGUUAGCUUCGCCAUGGCAGACAAAGACGGAAAUGGCAGGGAAGGUCUCCCACCACCGUCUCCCCCGUCAAAACCGCUAUCGACGGCAAGAUCCACCAUUUUUCUUUUGAAUAAGAAACUGGGUAUUUUUGCAAGUCUGACAGUGCUUGAUUGGAUCGAAUGAUUUGGUGGAGGUCAGUGUCCAUAAGCUCAUACGCAAUGUAAACAUCAUUGAAUGAGUUCCUCUACGGUGAAGGGAUUAUAUCCCGAUGCAACAACAUUAUCAUGAUCCAUAUGCCGCAGCAGUUUAAUCUCCCUCAGCGUUCUAUUCGCAUCGAUCCUGUUGUCGAAUGCAUUCGCAAUCUUCUUUAUUGCAACAUGCUCGUUCGUCUCUGAAUUCAAAGCUGAGCAAACGAUGUCGUAUGCACCUUUACCGAUGUGCAUGAUGGAGGACUUAUACUUGGCGGUGACCUCGAAGAUAUUGCCGAAGGUGUUGUACUGGAUGAAUCGGCCGCCGCGGCUGAGGGUGGCCGGAAUGCUCUCCACUCCCCCUCAUGGCCUGAUGCGACGGUGGCAGAUGUUACUGUGAGUGGUUGAGGUCCGAAUACGACAGUGGUGCCGCCUCCGACAUCACAGUGUCCGCUAAUUGCGCUACAGGUCAUCCUCCCUCCAUUUUUGAAUCGAUUCUCUUUCUCUGCUUUAUGUCGUUGGGUUGGUUGUAGUAAAUGGCAGUUCAGAAGCUCAGGCUCUGAGCCCUAAUUAGUAAACAAGAACAAGAAAGGAAAGAAUAGGAGAGAGAGAGUUUUUUUCCAAUCUGGAGUUUUUAGAGAGAGAAAGUCAGAAGGAGAGAGAGAUGGGACUGAAGCAGGAAGUGAGUCAGCUGAUUUUAUGUUUGUGGGGGACUUGUUUAUUGGGUUUUUGUGUUUGUGGGGAUUUUCUGGAAAAACCUAAGGAUGUUUUCUGCAGAUUUUGUAGUGUUGAUUUUGUAGAUUUUGCAGAUUUUGCGAUGAAGGUGAAAAAAUGAAAGAGAACUGACAUAGUUUUUUGUGUCGAUUCCCACAGACGGCGCCAAAUGUUGAUGCACAAAACCGGAGGUUUUGGAACAACGUAAAUUCGACUGUAAUCUGCAAGAAAUGUAAAUAACACAAGAUGUAUCGUGGUUCACCCCAAGGUUUGGGCUACGUCCACACUGAUUAUUGUAUUUAUCUGAGAGGUAAGGGAGAGAACCUCUGAAUAUAAGAGGGGAUGUGAGAGGGGUGAGAAGGCUUCAGAAAUGGCCUCCUCAAUUGUGAGGGUGAGGAGUCCUUUUAUAGAAUAAGGGCUCCUCACUUAUUACAUAUUUGCCCCUUCCUUUAUUACAUAAUUACAUUUAAGUCUCUCGAGUAUUUGUACAAGAUCUAAAUACGAAGGCCAUAAAUAUGGUAUAAACAUGGUAAAUAAGGGAGAAGAAGAAUCCUUGUCCUCCAAGGAAAUACAGUCCUAAUAGGGAGAUAAUAAAUAGUAAUAAAAAUUAUCUAGAAUUUACAAAAUCACACUUUAAUAUAAUAUCUAUAACACUCCCCUUGAGUGUAUAAAUACUCAAGUAGAUUUGUCACCAGGUAGAGUUAAGGAAGUUAACUCGUCAACACUAAUUCUUGGAACACGGUAAUCUCAAACAAAGGAACUUGCAUAUGGAACUAAGUCUCACAAAAACUCAAUGGCUAUGGUAAAACCCGAGGUGGGACAAAAGCCCAUAGUUGAAGGAAAAAUGCGUGAGAAAGUGCAAAGUCAAAUGAAAUAUGUAUGGGACUUACAUCAGGGAUAUGACCAACCCAACAUGAGUGCCUCAUCAAAACCUCGUUAAGUAGCAAAAACCCAAAGGGAAAAAUGCUCUUAAUCAUAGGAAAGAGUACAUUAAGCUCAAGUGAAUAUACUUUGGAAUACUCUCCUUGAGUUUGACAUAAUUCCAAAGAGAACUAACAAUGUUACAACUCAGAAAGUUUAAGCAUACCUAUUCCCUGAACAAGCUUCUGAAACGUCAUCUUCGGUAGUGAUUUAGUGAAAAGGUCGGUCAAGUUGUCUUGAGAACGAAUUUGCAUGAAUUCAAUCUUCUAAUGCUUUUAUUGUUGAUGUGAGAAUAAGAACUUUGGCACAAUGUGUUUGGUCUUGUCUCCUUUGAUGUAACACUUCUUGAGCUGUUCGAUGCAUGCUGCUUUAUCUUCAUAGAUCGUCGUAAGGAUGUCAACGACUGGAAGAAGAUCACAAAUGUUUCAAAUAUGGCCCACAACUGCUCUCAAACAGAUGCAUUACCGAGUAGAUUCAUGCAAGACAAGUAUUUCAACAUGGUUCGAAAAAGUGGUAACUAAGGUCUGUUUGGUUAACCUCCAAGAUAUUGCGAUGCCUUCAACAGUAAAGGUGUAACCCGUUUAAGGAUGCGCCUUCUACGGGUCAAAUAAGUACUUACGUCAGCAUAACCAACAAGGUAGGAAUCGACUCGAGAACCAAGAGGGAUUGUGGCACUUAUAGAGGAUUCAUAAGGAAAGAACAAGCUGAAAUUCGUCGUACCCUUAAGGUAGCGGAAACUAUCUUUAGCACCAGUUUAGUGUCUACAUGUCAGUGCAUUAUUGUACCUUGCCAAAAGAUUAACAGCAAAAUAGAUGUCGGGUCUAGUGCAUUGAGCUAAGUACAAUAAACCACCUAUUGCACUUAGAUAAGGAACUUCAGGUUCCAAAAUCUCUUUUUUGUCAUCCAUCAGACGAAAGGGAUCUCGUUUUGCAUCUAGCGAUCGAACGACCAUAUGAGUACUAGAAAGCUUCACUUUAUCCUCCUUAAAACGGCGCAACACCUUUCGGGUGUAGUUCGAUUGAUGUACAAGGAUUCCAUCUGAAGAAUGUUCUAUCUCAAGACCAAGACAAUAUCAAGUUUUCCUAAAAUCUUUCAUCUAAAAUUCCGACUUCAGGUGCACGGUAAUUUUCUCAAGCUCUUCAAGAGUCCAGAUGAGAUUCAUGUCGUCGACAUAAAUUGAAACAAUCACAAAACCAGAAUGUGACUUCUUAAUGGACACGAAUAGGCAUAGUUCGUUAUUCACACUAAUCAAAUACUCACUUAAACGGUUACAACACAUCUGCACGGCUUGCUUCAAACGGUAGAGUGAACACUUCAGUCGAAUGAAGAGUGUGUUUUGUGUGUUAGAACUAUUUGCACCAGUCAAUGUAAGUCCUUCAGGAACUUUCAUAUAGAUUUCCAUAUCAAGAUCCCCAUAGAGAUGCGCGGUUACCAUGUCCAUAAGCUGCAUAUCCUAUUUUUUAGAAACUACCAAACUGAUAAGGUAACGAAAAGUAAUCACAUCCAUAAUGGGUGAAUAAGUUUUUGUCAUAGUCAAUCCCAGGACUUUGAGAGAAACCUUCCGAAACAAGAUGAGCUUUGUAACACACAAUUUUGUUAUUCUUAUUAUGCUUCUGAACCAAAACCCACUUGUAGCCAAUAAGCUUCAUAUGUGGAGGAGUAGGAGCUAUAUGCCCAAACACCUUACGUUUCACAAGCGAAUCGAGUUUGAUUGGGAUUACUUGUUUCCAGUUUGACCAAUCAGUUAUAUGUUGACAUUUAUCAACGGAACGAGGUUCAAUGUCAUUUCUCAACAUAAUCUUAGUAAUUACUGCAUAUACUAAUGCAUCGUUGAUUAUCAUCUCAUUUCUACAUCAAACAUCAUCCAAGCUAGCAUAGUGGACCGAAAUCUCACGAUUCUCGGGAGGAAGAUUCAUUUUUUCCAGGACGUUUCCAUAAUCUAGAAUUUCCUCAUGCGUUGCAUAGAAUGAGUAGGCAUUGGUUGGAUUCACGGUAGGCUCAACAUCCUAUGUCGUGGGUUUCUUCUUCCGGAGUUGUGAAUCCUUUGAACCAAGAGGUCUGUCAUGUUUAUGGGUAAGAGCAAAGGAUUAGCUAGCCGCCAAUUACGUGGAUUGGUCAAAGUGACAUCCUAGGCCUCUAAGAGGGAAUUUCGUCAUACAUUUGGUACAUCUAUCUUUGCAAGCAUAGGCACAUUCGAGUUUGUAUAUGUGAUCUCAUCAUUCUCGCUAAAUCAGUGCUUUCUAGCAUACUCUAAGCUAUGCUCUGAACAUCUAGUAUGCGUCACACUUCAGUCUCAGACUGGGCAGUGCAGGGAUCCAAAUGAGACAAAGUGGGAGUUGUCCAUGAUGAAUCGCGUCGUUCUUUAGGAACGUGUAGGUUUUUAUCUCUUCUUAACGAUAAGAAAACUGUCUCAUAUAAGUAACAAUCUGUGAAACGAGCGGUAAAGAGAUCACAUGUCAAAGGUUCUAAGUAACGAAUAUAGAAGGAGAACCAUAAACAACAUAGAUUCUCAUCCUUAUCUGAGGAUCCAUUUUAGUAUGUAAAGGAGACGCAAUCGGUACAUAAAUCGCACAACUAAAAAUGCAUAGAUGUGAUAUGUCGGGUUCGUAUCAAGUAACCAACUAAAGGGUGUUAUAUGGUUAGGACGCAAUGGGCCUCAGGCGAACCAACAUGGUUGCGUGCAACAUUGCAUGGCCCCAAGCAGCGAUCAGGAGCUUAGUGACCAAUGAUUGAGCAAUCAUUUGUAAGUUCUUAAUGAAUGCCUUUGCCAAGCCAUUCUGGGUAUAAACAUGGGGUACUGGAUGUUCAACUUUAAACACAACUAACUUGAAAUAGUCAUCGAAAGUUUUUUAUUAUGAAUUCUCCAGCAUUAUCCAAUCGAAUAGAUUUGAUUGGAUAAUCAGGGUGGUGAGUCCUAAGCUUGAUAAUCUGAGCCAAAAGUUUGAAGAAAGAAACGUUUGUUGUGGACAACAAGCAUAGGUGUGACCAAAUGUAUGGAAGUGUCAACCAAUACCAUAAAGUAUCUAAAUGGUCUGCAGGGAGGUUGAAUCGGUCCACUAAAAUCCCCCCGAAUCCUUUGUAGAAAAAUAGGAGGAUUUGAACGAAUCUUAUCAUAAGAAGGCUUAAUGAUAAGCUUUCCCAUGAAGCAAGUUUGGCAUGCGAUAUCUUCUUGAAUCGAACCUUAACUUCGGGUUAAGGAUGCUUGUGUGAAGAUUUGAGGAUACAGUGCAUCACUAAUCAUUCAGGGUGUCCCAAACGAUCAUGCCAAAGUGUAAUUUCGUGUGUAGCCCCUGAGGUAGGCCCACUACAUAGUGGCUUUCUAUGGGGCGUAUAGUUGUUGUAUACAGACCACUCGGAAUAUGUUUCAUCUUCUCUAGAAUACGCUUCUGGCCAUAUUCAUAAGAAGUGCUGUAAAAAUUUAAUUAUGUUUUCUACAUAGGUUUCAGCAUGGUAGUUAUUGUCUCGAAUGUCUUAAAGCUCAACAACGUUCUUCUAGAACGUGAAGAAUAAAGUGCAUCUUGAAUGGUCAAAAUAAUAUCAUUGGACAACAUUAUACGAGCCUUACCAUAUCCUUUGAUCAGGCUAGAUGAACCUAAGAGGAUUGUCAGAUGUGCAUUCUUAAGUAAGAAGUUAAUGAAAUAGAUAAGUUCACAAAAAACAUUGUGUGUGGUUGCACUAUGUACUAGACAACUAACUUUCCUACUAGUCAUACCUAGAAACAAAAUUAAUUGAAUUGUUCACAUGCAUAAAAGUUCUAAAAACAUAUAUUCAUUUAAUUAACUAAGUAUUUGAGAAAGGUAACUCAUAAACUUAAUAUCCAAAAUUAAAACAAAUCACCAACAAAUAAUCCAAUCAUAAAGGAAAAUUGUUCAAUAAUUAAUCCAAAAAACAAAGGGGGUUCAGCCACUUAGUGGAAUUCGACCCUAGGGGUCUAAAAUUCAAUGAAAAAAAUGGCAAUGUCUAAUAUUCUAAUUUUCCAUAGAGGUAAUGACUUCCUGAAAAUCAAAAACCUCCAUUUUUGUAUCCCCCUGUUCCUCCACUUGAACAAAGUUUGAUUCAAACUUCUUACGACAAGAAUGAUAAUCAGCUACAACCUUCAAGAAGCGCGGAAAACAUGGGACCAAUGGUCCUUUGAUCCACAGUUGUAAUACCCUGAACAUUUAAAUAUAUGAAUUAGAUAUUCAUAAUUAUGAAAAUGUGGAGAAAAUCGAAAAUAAAUCGAUAUAUAGUUAUGAAAAUUUAAUUGAGAAAUUUUUAAAAUUUUGUUACUGGAAAUUAUUAUAAUUUACGUCGUAAAAUUUAUCGAUAAGUGAAAAAGAUGAAAAUGCCCCUAGUUGGUCUAACGUAAUUAUAUGAGGACGUAUUUUAUACUAAUUUAUUUGAAUUUAGAUUUUAAUUAAACUAGUUACGAUGUUUGAAGUGUGGAAACUAAUUAUCUAAAAUCCAUAUACCAUUCGAUGUCACAAUUUAUAUUUUUUUAUCGAGCUCGAUCUCAAGAACACAUAGGCGUAAACCGAGGAGUUAUUAACAUUUAAAAUCAGGGAUAUUUUUAUAAUUUUAACCUUCUCUAGAAAGCUCUAGAUUUUCUAGAGCACUGAGAUUAUGCCACGUGUGUGGCUGGGAUGAAAGGAAAAGAAGAGAAAGGAGAGAGAUGGAUAGCUGAGAUGGAAAUGAGAGGACAGAAAAGGAGAAAUGGGGGGAACAAAUAGGCCAAUUAGAAGGGGGGAGAGAAUAGAAGUGACAAAUCAGAAAAGGAAGAAAGGAGGGAAAGGACGAAAAAAAAAAAAGGGGAAGAAACCGACCAGCGGGAAACAUGGAAACCGGUGGUUUCUUGGCCACUUUCUGGUGAAUUAUGCCAAGACAACACUUGAGAAAUACCAAACGGCUCCCCCUCUACCAAUUCCACCCAAAAAUUUAGGAAAAUUGGCCUUGAAAUUAGGAAAACCCGCAUCGGUGGGUGCGAGGGUUAUUUGCCAAAAUCCACCAUUUCUGAAGCAUUCUCUUCCAAUUCCCACCACCAUUAGACUCCUUUUGAGGCCUGGAACAAAGCUCAAACAAUAGUAGGUGCGGCGGAGCACCGGAGGUGACGGAUCGAAGCCACCAAUUUCUAGGGUUUCCAGUGGGUUUGAGAUGAAUUGGAGAUUUUCCUAGCAAAAUUUGCCAUAGUCACAUGUAUAAAACUUGCUCCACUCACUUAGAUCUACUUGCCUGUAAAAUUCGGUAAUUUUUGGAGUUCGUUGGAAAAUUUGAUUUUCUUUCGCCGAAAACCACCUCUUGCGGCGGCACGUGGCCAGUGGGCCGAUGCUACCUAGUCAUGAAAAUUUUGAUAUUUUAAAAUCCUUAAUUGGUACCCAUGUGAGGUGAUUCGAUUGUGAAAGCUAAUGUUGAAUAUUUUCAUUACUAGAAUAUUUUCGAAAAUGGAUAAAAGAAUGAAUGGUGAACUACAAAAGGUUUGAUCUCGUUCAAGUGUACGUAGGCAGUCUAACGGGAGUUAGAUGCAGCCUUGAAAUAACCAAGAUUAAUCUUUUGUUGAAAAUUGUCUAAGAAAAAGGAUUGGGUGUUUAGUUUAAAGAUUAACCUUAUGUUUUUGGUAAAUAAAUUUAGCUAUAGAUUUUGUGAGAAAUUAAGAAUUUAUUAAAUAAAUUGUGAUCCUUAAUUAAAUAAACGAAUUGUGAUAAAUGGUAGAAAAUAAACAAGAGUUUAAUUUGGGCCUAUCAUAGUAAUUAUCUUCCGAAAUAAAUUUUUCGGGUCGGGGCGUUACAAAUGGUAUCAGAGCAAAUGAUCUUACUUUACAAUGUGAGUUAUUAUUGAUGUUUAUGGAUGUGAAAUUGUGAAUUGCAUUGAUAUUGCAUUAUUUUAUAAGUUCUAUGAUUAAUGAAGAAUUUAUGUGGAAUGCCUCUAUUGUGAUUCACCAUGAAGUGAAUUGAAUUGGAUGGGAGUAGAAAAUUUUUAAAAUGUCAUAUUUAAUGUCAUAGCUUCAAAGAGGAGAGCUUGAUUAAAGUAUCGAACUAAUCUGGAAUUGGGUUGAUAUUAUGCUAUGCGUUAGGAAAAUUUUGAACGUUAAGAUGAUUGUGAAAUUGUGACAAGUAGAUGGGAAAGUCGUAUUAUACUUGGGUAAUUGAGGAAUGUUGAUGUUGGAAAUAUGCCCUCAAAGUCAAUCUUUGGAAGAAACCUUUCAGGACAAAUGAAUGGAUGUAUAGAUGACUAUUAUACAUCAAAUGGCAAAGAUACUGAUUAGGACUAUCUCAAUGAACGAUAUAUGUCCUAAAUAGUGAAUCCAUGGACAAUGGAUCGAUUGAAGAAGUAAUCUAAUGAUGUUAGACUACAGAGACCUUCUUCACAUAACCGUCAUGUCCAAAAGGUUCCUGGUCAUAGGAUUGUCGGAGGGAAACUGACAAUGCAUAGACCGGUACAUACUAUGUCCGCUUCAAUUGGAAGGAUGGAAAGUCUCAUCCCAUUCGUGUAGUGACACUAAGACAAGUAUGUAGGUGCUCAUUAAGGGAAUGAGUUCACUGAACACAAUCGAACGAGAGUACUUGCAUGGAGGUCUACUCACAUGUCAAGCAAGUAACUCUUAUGGUUGGAAUAAUGUAAGUAGUCCUUUGACCUGAAGCAUCAUCGUUGUCUUGUGGUUAAGUACUUGAUCUUUGAUUAUGUUAAAGUCACCCCAUUCGCGGGUGUCCACGGCAUAGUUGGGGUUAAGCCACUUAGUCAUGAAGGCAAGUGAAUGCGCAACAAGGAAUCUCUAAUCUUCGUUAAGAGAGGAAGAAUACUCUAAGAUAUGAUUCGGGAAUCUUCGGCCGAAGUAUCAAGCGUAAUAAAGGAAAGCGUUCCUGUACGACUCAAUUGAAUCAUAUAAGAAGGAAUAAUCACAUUAGGAGUUUGACAUAAUAUAUCCAUACCCUAGUGAUGUGAUUGAGAGUAUUGUUUUAGAGAAGGAUUGAAUUACAUUGUAAUUCCAACUGAAUAGGUUCUCCGAACAAAUUCUACAUUAGCUUGGGUAGCCAUGAUAUAUGGUUAGAUGUCACUCAUGGCUUGUGAGUUCUUCUAGAUGAUUAAAUGUAGUAGUCAAAGAAGAAGGUGAAUUAAAAGUAAGUUUUAAUUCACUACGUGAUUGGAUUAAAUAUAAUCAAUUGGAUUGAUGCCAAUCACCUCACUGCCUUGCUAAUUAGAACCUAAAAUGAUUAUUCACCAAUACACUCUUGUAGUGAGUAAUUAAUGGAUGAUGGAAAUAAUUAAUUGGAUUAAUUAAGUGUUGUGAUUAAUUAGAAAGUCUAAAGAAAUCAUAAAAGCGAUAUAAGAUCGUUUUGGGCUUAAAGAAACGUUCGGGUUUAAUUGGGCCCAUUGGGCCUAAACCCAUUGGGCUUUUAUUCAAGCAUUGGAUGACUUGAAAUAAAUAAAAGCCCAAAGCCCAAACAACACUAAGGGGGCCGGCCAUAUAGAGUGAAAGAGGGAGAGAAAGGUCAAAUGUUGACUUGUUUCUUUUUGGCUAUAUAAGGAACUUUAUAGCAUAUAUUUUCAUUAGGGUUUUUGAAGUGUUGAAAGAACAAAAGGAGAAAAGAAAAAUUAUCUCUCUAACACUUACAAAGGCCGGCCACCAUAAGGGUGAUUUUAACUAAUCAUCUUCUCACCCUUUUGGUUAUUCCUUCAUCCUUCUCACUACACUAGUGGGUGAGGAUCUUUAGAGGUUUUCAACUUUGGAAACUUGAAGAGAACCUAGGAGCACUCAUUCUAACAAAGUGGAGGAGGCAAGGAAGGAGGCUAGGCUCAAGGACUUCAAGGAGCAAAGGUCUUGGAGGUGGUCCAUCCUUGGUCUAAGAUCUAGAUCAAGAGGUAUAAUACUACUCCUAAACUUUGUCCUUAAGUAAAUUUGUUUUUUAUGCAUCUUACAUAAACCUAUGAACCUUGAAGGGGAUUUACAUGACUAGAGCUUUGAUAUUAUUUGUUAAAAUGCUUCCGUUGCUUUCGUAUAUAAAUUUUGAAUUGUAUAUGCAUGCUAGUCACUAGAAAUCCCAAUAUGAAAUCUCAUAAAUUUCCCUUCAAGUGGUAUCAGAGCCAAAGGUUUAUGUAUGAUGUGUCCUUUUGGAUUUUAUGCAUAUGGGUUUUAAUAUUUUGUAUGACAUGAUUAUUUCUUCAUUCAAAGUAUGUUUAUCUUUUGUUUUUCAAUAGUUGAAAAAUGUGAAUCAAUAGUUGAAAAGAUAUGUAUGCAAAAGGGUUUUGGAUGCAUGAAUGAAGAUUGAGUUUAGAACUAAAAUUUGGGGUUUUUAUUCCAAAAGGGAGGGCACAGUUUUGGGGGUGGUUUUGGGUUGUGUUUGUGUUUUAUUGUAAACCACUCUCACAUCCUUUUAAAGCUAGAAAAAAGUGUUCUUGUCACUUUUGUUUUUGGGUUUGAAAAAUCACCAAGAAUAUACAAAUCUUGAAAAUGUGUUCAUGGUUUUGUUCUUGGUGUUCAUGGUUUGGUUUUGGUGAAAAUGGUAUUAUUUGGCUUUCAUGCAUUGUUUUGUGGUUUUGGAUGAUGAACAUACCAUCCAUAGCCAUAUCAAAAAUUUAUUAAAUCCUAGACUUGACUAGGAGAAUUUCCAUCACCUUUUUCACUUAAGUCUUCAAAGCAAAACCAAGUGACAAGCAAAAUUUAAUUUUUUCUACAUAAUGUUGUUUUAAUGCUUGUUGUGUAAGAAUGUGUAAGAGACUUCCCAUCUCCCCUUAAUGUGGCCGGCCUCCCCUAGUGGAUUACCCACUUGUAGGGCUAUUUUGUAAUCUUUGAAAAGUUGAUAUUUAUACUUUCAAGUAUUUAUGUUUUGACCCCUAACUUUUGAUAUUUGCAUAAUAGUCCCCAUCCAUCUAAAAAUUUAAAAUAUUUGAUUUUAAUUUUAUUGGUUGUUUAAACUCAUAAUACUAUUAUGCCCAUAUGCACUAAAUCUAAAUGUUUAUGUUGCAUUCCAUUUAAUUAUUUAAUGUGAUUAAGUAGUUAGAAAAUGGGUGACUAUGGACUUAUGCCUUAAACGAUAAUUGAGCUAUAAGAUAAGGCGCUAAAAUCAAAUUGUUUGAACCUUGGGAAUGUGCUUUAAUUACUGUUUUAAUUGGACCUUGUCACCUUUGACAUUAAUCUAUCUCUCCCUCUUAGUAUAUGUAAUUUGUAGGAAUUUGUACAAAACGGUUUGUAAUUCUUAUUACUCCUUAAUCUCUUUUAGUUAGUUGAUUCCCUCUAGUACUAGACUAGAGUUUCUUUAACUAUUGGUAAGGAGACAUAACUAAAAGAGGGUUUUGACAUGAGAUUAAAGAUUAAAUGGGUCCAAGCAAUGAAUGAUUGUCUUUCAUUUCUAAUGGCUCAAUGAAAAUGUUUUAAUUGGAUUGAAAAGCACGUAAUUAAAUUGACUCAACCUCCCCGAGUUUAUAUUCAACAAUGUUGGCUCGUUGUUGCAAUAACCUAAUAAGUCCAUGGUCAUCCAAGAGCCUAAGAUAGCUAUAAAGUCCAAUUUCAAAGGAAUGCAAAAACCAUAGUAGUAAUAGUUACUUCCAAUAUUUGAAAAAUUCGUUUUUGAUAUUGAUUUGUUUUUCUCAAAACAAAUAAUGGGAGUAUCAUACGCUACUAAAUUAUAAAUGAAUACAAUUAGUAGUUAUAUAUAUCUCCAAUAUUUUGAAAAUUGUUUUGAUAUUGAUUUGUUUUAUGAAAACGAAUAAUGGGGAUAUCAUAUGCUACUAAUUUCAUUAACUUUGGACUAGUAGUUAUAAUAGGACAAUUUAUUUGAAUGUGAUUAAAUAAAUAAAAUUGAUGAGACCUAAAAAUCCCUCAACCAACAUACAAUAUUAAGUUGAAAGCGUAAGAGUGCUUUGAACACUUUUUCGUGGCCUUCCACCGUGGUAGGCUCCAAGCGUUUAUGACUUGUACACCGCCUUCACCCUAUCAUGGGGGAGUGCAAAGUGCAUGCUUAUAUUCAGGAGGAGUUUAUUUAAAACAUUUGAUGAGGUUAAGGUAGGCAACGAGUGUGGCCAACAUCGUAUCAUCGUGAGGUCAUACUUGAACCCCUAGCUAAACCGGCAUGGUGGGAAAGAACUUAACUAAGAGAAAUGAUGCCAACAUCGUAUCAUCGUGAGGCAUUGUUUUCUAAAGGCCAAAAAGAUGGGUAAUCACAAGAGGUUGUUGUGAAUGGGUACUUGUACCCUCUCAUUAUUAUUUUUGCUAGCCGACAUCGUAUCAUUGUGAGGUGGGCUUGGUAAUAGUGAGCCUCCCAUAACCCGCUAGGAGUUUUCUUUGAAAUCUCCCGGAUUCCAUCUUGAGGGAUAUGGAAUUUGCCAAAAAUGGUGGGUGGUGUCAUUCGGU